Molecule: long non-coding RNA, 80914 nt
Filed under: Jatropha curcas
Lineage: Eukaryota; Viridiplantae; Streptophyta; Magnoliopsida; Malpighiales; Euphorbiaceae
Description: long non-coding RNA (JCUR_LNC002385)
Source: RNAcentral
GCAGCCGCAAUUGAACGUUAAGCCACAAUAAGUAAACUAUAAUAAAACAACAUAAAAACAUAACUAAACCGGAAAAAAAAAAAAAAAAAAAAAAAAAAAAAAAACCCCAAAGACAAUUUGCUUAAAGAUCAAUACCUUUGGUUGUAUAGGAGCUCCAUUUGCGAUCUGUUUGGGAGAAUGAGAUUUUGGCAUCGACUCAAUUGGAGAAUAAGCCCGGAGAGAAGGAAGAGAUGGAAGUUUAGCAGAAGGCCUAGAUGGGUUCUCAUGUUUGCAGGAGACUGAGUUGACUCGCCUGGACUCAAGGCGUGGAAAAGGGAGGAAGCCGAGUUUAGGGGAGUCGAUUCGCCCGAGUCUAGGAAGAAAGGGACAGGGUUUGAGGUUGAGUUUGAUAGAAGUUGGAGAAGAAGAGUAUAGAAGCCUCUCCAUGGCCUCUCUCUCUCUCCUCUUUGUCACUCUCUGUUUGUGCUUUUUGUGGAGAGGUUUUACAGGGAAAGACUUUGAGGGAGACAAAGAAGGUGGGUUGGUGAGGAUAGCGUUUUGGCUGAGAGGGUUAACGGAAAAUUGAAAAUUCGGAUAUUUUCAAAAUAAAGUAAUACUGUUAAACAGUUUUUUUCUCUUUCUGUGUUUGAAGAAUACUAAAAGCUCUAAUAAUUGAUUUUAAUUUUUUAAUUUUAAUGUUUAACCAUGAUUUUUUUUAAAUUUUUAAUAUUAAAUAUAAAUAUGACUAGUAAUUAUCAUAAUAAAUGAGUUUAAAUAUUAGUAAUUUAAUAUUAUAGUUUAAAUGCACUUUUUUUAUCUAUUUUAAUGUUUCCUCUUUGUUUCAGUUUUUAUAUAUAUUAGUGCUUUUAUAACACAUAUUGCAAGUUGUCGUUAUUUGUUUUUUACUCAUUAUGCUCGUUCAUUAUUAUUUGUUAUAAUAUUAAGAUUUGUUAUAAUUUUUUUCAUAUUUUUUUAGAUUUUUAUAUAACGUAAAUAAAAUGACUAAAUAAUCAUAUUUUAUAUAUAUGUACUUUAAUUCAAUUUAUAAAUCUAACAUGUAUCUACAUUGCACUUUAACAGCACAUAGUACCACAAUGCUACUCAAUAAGUACGUUGUAAUGUAUAUACGUGUACGUAUACAAAUUUCUCCAUAUAUUUAAGAAUUAAUAACAUAUUCAUUUUUUAUCUAGCCAAACAAUUUUAAAAGGCAAUAUAUAUAUAUAUAUAUAUAUAUAUAUANNNNNNNNNNNNNNNNNNNNNNNNNNNNNNNNNNNNNNNNNNNNNNNNNNNNNNNNNNNNNAUAUAUAUAUAUAUAUUAUUUCUCUCCUAAUUAAAAACCUUUAAAUUAUAAUCAAAUAUUAAUUAUAUAUUUUAACUGGUAUUUAAAUUAAAAUUUUUAAUUAAAUAUUUUAAAUUACAAUCAAAUAUUAUAUAUGAAUUUUUAUUUAUUUGAUUUUUUAAUUUUUUUCUUAUUUCUCUCCUAAUUAAAAUAUUUUAUUGUAUUAUAUAUAUUGUUAUAUUAAAAUUUUUGUUCACCAUAUCAAAUAUUUUUAAAAUAUAAUUAUUAUAUAUUUGUUAAAAUUUAUGUACUCAUCACGCUCUAGUAUCUUUUAAAUUAUAAUCAAAUAUUAUAAUUAAAUAAUAUAUAUUUUUAAAUUAGAUAUUUCUAAUUACUAUUUAAAAUAUCUUAAAUGACGAUGAAAUAUUAAAUUUAAACUUUUAUUAUUUUUUCUUUUUCCUUAUUGUUCUCCUGAUUAAAACCUUUUAAUUAAAUUACAAUUAAAUCAAAAAAAUUUUUAUAUUUUUUAAGUUAAAAAUUUUUUAAGUUAAAUUUUUAAUCAUGAAAUACUAUUAUGUAUGUUAGUGCAAAUUUCAAUAUUUUAAGAAAUCUCAUUAUGUUUCACUUUUUUUAUAUAUUUAUAUACAGUAUUUAUAGAGAAAUUAUUAUUAUUAUUAUUACUCCAUUAUUUAUGGCUUUGAUGCUUAUUAGUUAUGAUAGUUGCGUGGCCCAUUAAAUUAUCGUUGACUAUACUAAAAUAAAGUAGCGGUUUCUGUUUGGCCACAACAAACCCUUAUAAUAAUCAGGUCCCUCCCGAUGGUUUAUGGUUUAUAUAUUUUGUCAUGUAAAUAUAUACAAAUGUAAAGCUAUCUUAUUUAGGGUCUAUCCACGGCACUAGUUGUUAUAGAAGUUGUUAGUUGUUUUAGGAGCCGUUAACCAUUAGUUAUUUAUAUAGUAGUUAAAAUAAAAGUGUUUGCUAAAAAAAUAACUGUUUGAUUAGCUGUUAUAAAUCAAAUGACAAAAAAUGACAUUGAAAUGUUGACUUUAAAAAUUGAUAUAUAUAUAUAUAUAUAUAGAGUAGCAAGUGUUUUUUUUCUUUUCUAAAUUAUUAUCAUUUUUUUUUUUAUAGCAAAAGAUUAUUUCUUAUAGAAUUGAAAUGAAAAAACUAAAAAAUUAUUUCUUGUAAUUUUUAUUUUAAGGUAAUAAGAAAUAACAAAAUAGAAUAAUUAAAAAUGACAUGUGAAACGCUAAAUGUUUGGAGAUUUAACAUUUAAUGAAACGAUGCCUAAUUUCUAAAUGUUAAUAUAAAUAUUAUAUUACCGAAAGAUGUAAUUAAUAGAAUAAUGUUGUUGUCAAGUAAAUCCUUAUUCCGUUUGGCUGAUAUGAUUUUUUUUUUUUUUUUUUUUUACUUCAAAAAAUAUUUUGAAGCUUUCCCAUUUUCAUGUUGAGUUGAAGCUUUCAUUCCACGAAAGAAUCAAAGUUCAGAAAUAUAAGUUUUUAGUUUAUCCCUUAAAAACUCCAUUUUUUAAAGUUAAAUAAUAGUUUAUUAAAUUUUUAUACGGAAAAGAGAAAGUUAAAACAAUGAAAUUAGGCUUCAAAAAUAAAAAAUUUUUUAAUUUUUUAAAAUUUUUCGAAACAUAUCACAAUCAGUUCAAUUUAAAUAAUUCGAAAUUGAUUGCUAAAUCAGACGUAUGGACUGCUGAAUUGAUUUAAAAUCAUAAAAUUCAUAAUUCCUAUUGACAUUUAUAAUCAAUAAUACCAUUUAGAGGGAGACCUUCAAAUUGCAUAAUUAAUUUAUUUUUUUUUUAUUUAUUGAAAGGCUUAACGGGUCAAGUUAAUACUGUGAGCUACACAAUAUAAAUAACAUUCCUCUGAAUUAACCAAAUUGGUAAAAACACUUAUAAUCGGGAGAACUCGAACUCGAAACCUCUCACUUCGUAUAAAUGAGAAGAUCAAUAAUACCACACUCCUAAUCGGUAUUAAUUUUUUUUAACAGCAUAAUUAAUUUCUUAUAAAAUGAGAGAGAUAUAAUAAAUAAGCUCUAAAUUAAUAAUUGAUACAAUGAGCCCAAAAGCGAAUUUGUCGAGGUGGCUAAUAGGAUAACAGAUAGAUUCAAUUACUUGGAGGUUUCCAAUUGUGAGAACAAAAGCUUUGAAUAUAUCAAACAGGAUAACUUAUCCGGUAGCCAUUUUUUUCAAAAAAAAAAAAAAAAAAGUGCAUAAAUUAAAAAGUCCACAUAUUAACACGUCAAACUUUGCGGUUGCGCUCACGCUAACACGCAUUCUCAAGGCGCCUCCUUGCGCUCGGCACACGCACCCAAUAGAUACUCCGCACGUUCAAUUUAAGAAGGCAGUGGACAGUUGUCCAUAUUAAUUCAAUUUUAAGAGCGAACACACUUGUCUACACCAGCUGUAUUAGCACAUCAAUACAAGAAAUAAAUAAUUAGUUGCGAUUUGAAAAAAUUAUUUUAACUAUUUUGCAGAACCGCAUAACACCGGUUCAAAUCAAAUCAAACCGAUGUUAAAUUGUGAUUUUAAAAGUUAGUGAUUUGAUUUGUAAAAUUUAAAGAUUUAGGUUUUAGUUAAAUUUAUGGUUUUAUAUUUAAAAUUGUGCAAAUCGCACCAAAAUGUUUUAUAUCUAUAAAAACUUUUAAAUGCUAAAUAAUUUAGUUUAAUUUUUAAUGAAAAAUUUCUCUGCAUUGCUUAGUUUGUAUUGCAUAAUAAUUAUAUAUAAUUUCAUAUCAUUUAAAUAAGUUAUAUAAUUAUAUUAUUUGUAAGUUCAAAUGUCAAAUAUUUUAAAAUGAUGACUAUUCACUGCUUAGUUUUUUUUUUUAAUAUUUAAAAAAAACUAAAAUAGAUACACUCAUUAUCUACUUUUCUUUUUCACUUGUUUCAAAUUAUAAUAUUUUUCAAAAAAAUAAUAAUUUUUGUAGUUUAUUAUUUUAUCUCUAUUUAAUGUGUAUUUCUUCCAACAAAUAUGCCACUAUUAUAAUUAGCUAAAUCUUGAAAUAAACAAAACAAGGUCACUAUUAUUGUCACAUAUAUUAACCAACCUAUUUUUAAUUACAUUUAUUCUUGUAUUAAAAACUUACUGGUAUUAGAACCCGCGCGAUGUAUGAAACAAUAUUAAAUAAUGAAAUAACAUCAUUCAAAAAUGAUCGUAAUCAAAAUUAUAUCUCAUUAAGAUAUGCAGAAAAUGUUGGAAUGCUAAGAUGUGUCUUUUUAAGUAUCCUCUAAAGCAUUUCACUAUGAUAUGUAAAAGUAAAAGUUAUACAUGGUAUAACCUGUAUAAAAAAAUAUACACACUAUUAAUUUAUUUUUAAAUAGUAAUAGUGAUUUUGGGAAUUUAACUAAUUAUAUUGAAAUAACAAAUUAAUUAUUUUUUAUAUUAUGUUUAUAAUUUAUUGUAAAUGAUUAUUUAUUUAUUUAAAAUAUUAAUGUAUUAGACUUAUUUAGUGUAAUGUGUCAUGCGCGUGUGGAUGUCAUACUUUUUUAAAAAUAAUCGUAUCUCGUACGUUCCUGCAUCUCGUAUCCUGUGUUCCGUGUCUGUACAACUUAACUCUUGGUAUAUGAGACUACUAUAUACACUAAGUCAAUCAACUAAGGUUAUUUUUUAUUAGCAAGAAAAAAUAAAGUUUUUUUUAAUUCAUUUUUGUGUCCUUUUUUUUUUAUUAAUGAAUGAUCACAAACACUGUUGUUACAACUAAAAAUAUAUUUCGAUAGUCUUGGUAAGUCAUUAGUUUUUGUCAAACUCUAUAAUUAUUUCCAUCAAAGAGAGAUAUUUUAAUGAAAACUGAUAAAUAAAUUGAAAUGAGAGGAUGUUAGCUUUAGGCUCCAUAUUGAUAAGAUUGGCCGAUAAUUUAACUAAUUAUAUUGAAAGAAAAAUUAAGUAUUUUUUUUAAAUUUGUUUUAUCUUUUUUUUUUUAAAAAAAAUAGUUCAACAACUUAAUUUAGAAUUAUAAUAUUUGUCAUUUUAUAAUUCAAAAUACUGCUAAGUGGUAAAUUGUACUAUUUACAUUUGGUUUUCAUAUAAAGAAAACUACUCUCCUUUUAUAUAUUAUAUAAAUAAAUUAGGUCUGGCCAAUACUUGAUAUUUUUCAAAACUAAAUUAAGAAAAAAUAAGAAGAAACUAAAAUUUAUUUCAAAAAAAACUUAUAUUACUUAAUUUUUUAUAUAAAAGAAAAUAAAAUUAAUUUUUCUCUACAAAUUUAUUUAUAGUUUUUUUAUUUUCUUUCUAAUUUGAAGAGAAAAUUAUCGAAAUUCUUUUUCCUUAUAUUCAUUUCUUAUUUUCAAAUUAAAUAAUUUUUGCUUAUUAAUAUUAGUUUAGCUUUCUUUUCUCUUCAAUAUUAUUUGAAAAUAUAAAACAAUUUAUUUCCUUACAAUAGUUUUCAUUAGAACUAAACUCUUUAUAAUUGUGCUAAAUAACUUUACAUUUGGCAAUUGGCAAUUUGAGAUUGACACUUGUCUGUCGUUUAAAAUAUACUGCGUUAAUUAGUGUUGUGAUCUAUCUUUUAGGGCCAGAUUGAUAUUAAGAUUUGGUAAGUUUAAAGCGAUGGAAGUCCAUAAUAAGUCUAACCUAGUAACCUACUAAACAAAUAAUAGCAAAAUCCAUAUAUCAUUUGGGCCUUAGGCCCACUAUCCAAGCAGUCUCUAUGACAGAUUGCCAUCGAUAAAUAUAUAUCCAUAGUUGUGAUACUCAGCUCGAAUCAAUUUACAUAACCAAUAAGAUACUUAUUUCACAGUGAAAAUUUUAAUGGAGGCUCAACAUCCUUUAUUCGUUCAGUAAUAUUACAAAUACUCACAUCACACUAAUUACUUUUAACUAAUACAAUCGCUUCUCUUCUUUUUUUUUUUUUUUUAUUCAUACAUUUCAAUUUAAACUACACUUUCGCCGUUAAACUACAUCUAUGGCUUUAUUUGCUUCCAUAAAAUAACUUAUCAUUAUUAUUAAUAUUUUUUAUAGUCUUAUGAGACAAAGACUUUAAUAUUUUUAACUAUAUUAUAACUAAACAACGAAAAAUAAAUCACUUGGAAAAUAUUUGUCACUUGAAUUGGAAAAUAUAUUGUUUAGCAAGUUAUUUUACGGAUCAUCUAUUAAAAUGAUGUAGCAUGAUUACUCAUGGACCCUAGCAUGUUACUUACCAAUUGAAAUCCAAGAUGAGCCUUGAUUCAAAUCUCUGCUACUGUUAGAACAGGUAGAUUAAAAGCGAUGUGAAGAUCUUCUGCUUCACGUCCUGUGACUUUUAAAUACCAGAGUUUUGGGGACUGGCUUUGAGCGAGUGUGAGCCAAUGCAAAUGUCUAACCUUGAUAGGAAUUUUGAGACCUUAUAAGCCCCAGCUCUCUCCGAACCCUGACAAGCAAAGAGAAAGAUAUGUAGAGAGUGAGUUUCGAGGAUGAGUUCACUCGAAUGUGGUUAAGUCGAAAUUCAAACUAUUUGGAGGGUGUGAUCAAAAGGAGAGAGAAAGAAGACAACAACAAAGAGGAGGAUGAUCGAAGUAAAGAGGAGGCAACGACGGAGGAAGAUGAGGAAUGGAUGUUGAGGUGGCUGUAGUAGGGCAAAAUGAUGACAUUUGGGGAAAAGAGUGAGUUUUGAGCCCUUGGUGUGUUUUAAUAUUCAAGUUAAACUAAGGAUAGUCAUAGUAUAUGAAUUCUACUUUUACAAUAUUUUAUUUAAAACUCUAAGUUAAAUUUAAAAUUAAAGAAAAAAUAUACCUAAUUUUAUAAAUUGGAAUUAACUAAAGUAUAAAGAACAAAUAGGUCGAUUUGAAGCCUCAUUUCCAAUAUAUAUAUAUAUAUAUUUUUAUAACAUAGUUGUAAUGCUUUAAAAUAUAAUUUUUUUGAUAUUGCUGCACAAAUUUAUUUAUUGUUCUUAUUAAUUUAUAUUUGUUUCCCUCCAAAUUUUGAAAUCUAUUUCUACUUCCUAGGCAUGGUGGUUCAGGUUCGAGAUAUUUAAAAUUUUGAACUGGAAUCGACCCUUGAACUUUUGGUUCCGACACAGUUCAGGCGAACCGACAGUUUGAAUUACGGUUCCGAUUCGAUUCCGGCAUUACGCAAAUUUUUAAAAAAAUAAUAAAAUUUUGAUUUCGAAUUCAUAAUAAAUAAUAAUUUUAAAAUGUUUCAAUUUUAUUAACUAAAUAAAUUAUUAUAAAAUUUUAAAAGAAAAACUUCUAUUAACUAACUUAGAACUAUUAUUACAUUAAAUUUACAAAUUUUGCUAAUUCACUAAUAUAGAAAACCAUAAAUGGAAUGAGUUGGAAAUUAUUAUUUUCAAAUACUAAGAAAAUUAUUAAAAAAAUUAAAUGAAGUAAAUUUAUGAAUGGAAAAAAUUGAGAUUAAAGAAAGAAUUUGGAAUUGGAUGUAAGAAAAUAAAAAAUAAAUAAUAGAUAAUUCCAAUAUUAAGGAAAAUAAAGCAAUAGAAAAAAUAAUGAACUAUGGAAAUUUGAGAGAAUUUUGAUUGAGAAUAAGAGAAGAGUUGAGAUAUAAUUGGUUGUGAAAUAAAAAGUCAUCAACUCAUCAUAUUUAUACAUGUUUCUCAUUUAUUAGUUUCCCAAAUUGUCCCUUAUAACAGAAAAAUAACAGCUAUAUUUUUGGAUAAUUUAGUAAAUUACAGUAAAUAAAUAAAUAAAUNNNNNNNNNNNNNNNNNNNNNNNNNNNNNNNNNNNNNNNNNNNNNNNNNNNNNNNNNNNNNNNNNNNNNNNNNNNNNNNNNNNNNNNNNNNNNNNNNNNNNNNNNNNNNNNNNNNNNNNNNNNNNNNNNNNNNNNNNNNNNNNNNNNNNNNNNNNNNNNNNNNNNNNNNNNNNNNNNNNNNNNNNNNNNNNNNNNNNNNNNNNNNNNNNNNNNNNNNNNNNNNNNNNNNNNNNNNNNNNNNNNNNNNNNNNNNNNNNNNNNNNNNNNNNNNNNNNNNNNNNNNNNNNNNNNNNNNNNNNNNNNNNNNNNNNNNNNNNNNNNNNNNNNNNNNNNNNNNNNNNNNNNNNNNNNNNNNNNNNNNNNNNNNNNNNNNNNNNNNNNNNNNNNNNNNNNNNNNNNNNNNNNNNNNNNNNNNNNNNNNNNNNNNNNNNNNNNNNNNNNNNNNNNNNNNNNNNNNNNNNNNNNNNNNNNNNNNNNNNNNNNNNNNNNNNNNNNNNNNNNNNNNNNNNNNNNNNNNNNNNNNNNNNNNNNNNNNNNNNNNNNNNNNNNNNNNNNNNNNNNNNNNNNNNNNNNNNNNNNNNNNNNNNNNNNNNNNNNNNNNNNNNNNNNNNNNNNNNNNNNNNNNNNNNNNNNNNNNNNNNNNNNNNNNNNNNNNNNNNNNNNNNNNNNNNNNNNNNNNNNNNNNNNNNNNNNNNNNNNNNNNNNNNNNNNNNNNNNNNNNNNNNNNNNNNNNNNNNNNNNNNNNNNNNNNNNNNNNNNNNNNNNNNNNNNNNNNNNNNNNNNNNNNNNNNNNNNNNNNNNNNNNNNNNNNNNNNNNNNNNNNNNNNNNNNNNNNNNNNNNNNNNNNNNNNNNNNNNNNNNNNNNNNNNNNNNNNNNNNNNNNNNNNNNNNNNNNNNNNNNNNNNNNNNNNNNNNNNNNNNNNNNNNNNNNNNNNNNNNNNNNNNNNNNNNNNNNNNNNNNNNNNNNNNNNNNNNNNNNNNNNNNNNNNNNNNNNNNNNNNNNNNNNNNNNNNNNNNNNNNNNNNNNNNNNNNNNNNNNNNNNNNNNNNNNNNNNNNNNNNNNNNNNNNNNNNNNNNNNNNNNNNNNNNNNNNNNNNNNNNNNNNNNNNNNNNNNNNNNNNNNNNNNNNNNNNNNNNNNNNNNNNNNNNNNNNNNNNNNNNNNNNNNNNNNNNNNNNNNNNNNNNNNNNNNNNNNNNNNNNNNNNNNNNNNNNNNNNNNNNNNNNNNNNNNNNNNNNNNNNNNNNNNNNNNNNNNNNNNNNNNNNNNNNNNNNNNNNNNNNNNNNNNNNNNNNNNNNNNNNNNNNNNNNNNNNNNNNNNNNNAAAAAACUAUAAAUGGAAUAUAAAAUUAAUGGAAUGAGUUGGAAAUUAUUAUUUUCAAAUACUAAGAAAAUUAUUUAAAAAAUCAAAUGAAGUAAAUUUAUGAAUGGAAAAAAUUGAGAUUAGAGAAAGAAUUUGGAAUUGGAUGUAAGAAAAUAAAAAAUAAACAAUAGAUAAUUCCAAUAUUAAGGAAAAUAAAGCAAUAGAAAAAAUAAUGAACUAUGGAAAUUUGAGAGAAUUUUGAUUGAGAAUAAGAGAAGAGUUGAGAUAUAAUUGGUUGUGAAAUAAAAAGUCAUCAACUCAUCAUAUUUAUACAUGUUUCUCAUUUAUUAGUUUCCCAAAUUGUCCCUUAUAACAGAAAAAUAACAGCUAUAUUUUUGGAUAAUUUAGUAAAUUACAGUAAAUAAAUAAAUAAAUGAUUAAAAAAUAAAUAAAAUUUAUUUACCAAAAAAUAAAUAAAAACCACCUAUCAUAUAAAAAAUUAUCCGUUACACUCUUUUUUUUUUACAGUUGAAAGUAUUUUUUUUUCACCACUUUUUAUAACUUAUAUAUCAUUUUACUUCUUUUCACUAUAAAUCAAAUCAAGUGAUAUAAAUUUUUUUAUAAAAAUUUUAAGCUACAAUUUUUUGUGCAUCCGGUUCGAACGGGACCGGAACCGCCGGUUCCGGUUCAUAUUUUAACAUUGACAUGAAUCUUAACCGGCCCUUGAACCGUCGGUUUCUGUUCGAUUUCAAUUCGUCAACAGUACGGUUCGAUUCCGAUUAGAAUCGAACCGGUGGCAUGCCUACUACUUCCGAUCUAAGAUUAUUUAUUUAGUUUUAGAUGUAGCGUAUUUUUAAUUUUUUAUUACAGGUUCUUGUAAUAUACCUUGGAAAAAAAAAAAAGAACUUAAAAAACUAGUGCGUCUGACGCCGUAUUCUCUGUUUGGUCACUGAGUUGUCAAUUUGUUGAGGCAUGGUAAACCUGGCAUUAUAUAAACCAUAAAGGACCAAUAAGUAAUUCCGUACCAUCGCAAUCCAAAACCAAAAGGGGAAGGGUCUUCACGGAACCCCUAUAAAUAUCACAAUUUCCUCAAUUUCUCUCAUUUUUUCCGGUUUCACCUUUGUCCUUCCUCUUUCCCGCUCUCUCAAGGGUUAGGGUUUCUCUUUUUCCAAAAUUUCAAUCACAGUAACAAUGUCGACAUCCAAGAAAGUCACUCUCAAAUCGUCCGACGGCGAGACUUUUGAGGUGGAGGAAGCGGUGGCGGUAGAGUCGCAGACUAUAAAACACAUGAUCGAGGAUGACUGCGCCGACACUGAGAUACCGUUGCCUAACGUGACCAGCAAGAUCUUGGCUAAGGUCAUCGAAUACUGCAAGAAGCAUGUCGAGGCCGCCACUGCUGAUAAGGACAAGGAUAAGUCCUCCUCUGAUGAGGCUCUCACGACUUGGGACGCCGAUUUUGUCAAGGUUGACCAGAAUACCCUUUUUGAUCUCAUCCUGGUAAGCUUUUACUUUUCUUUUUAUUUCUUGCCUAGCUUUCACUUUCUUAUUUCUAAUCUUGAAUAAUUUGCUGUCUCUCUUAAUUGUGUGUUAUUUCUUCGAAUGAUACAGUAAGUUUUACUGACGUUGAAUAAUUUUACAAAUUCUCCUCAUAUUGAUUUGUGUUCGUUUUUUGUUUGUUGUGUUGCACUUAUGAGCCUAGAUGUUUGUGAGCACUUAGGUGAAAUUCAGGAUAUUAAUAAUCCGAUUAUGGUUUUUUUUUUUAGAUUAUCAGAAACUGGGUCUUAUUUGCAGUUAGAAUAUAUCUACGGGUAAUGGGUAGAUUAUCCAUACAAUUAGAGACGGGACUCAUUUGCGUUUUAUGUUAUAUGUUCAUUAUAUAAUUGCAAUUUUGUAAACUUUGUAAAUGGUUUGGGAUUCUGAUGAUAUUAAUGUUAUAUAGAAAAUAUAGUUUGGUGGAUUUCUUGUUGAUUGUACCUUUCUAUAUAUUGAUAGCUUCUGCUUUACUGUGUUUUUUAGUAAUAAACUAUGAAACAUGAACCUGAUUUCAAGUCAUGUGCUAGGAAAGGUGAUCUUUAUGUGUGGGGCUUUUACAUGGGUAACUGCCUUCUUUUUGACUUUUCUUUUAUAUGAUUCUGCUUUAUAGCCUUUUCUGUUUAAUUUGCUUUUUUGCUCACCUACUUUUAUCUAUUUGUGCAGAAUAUGUCUUUUACUUUGUGUAUUGUGUGUUAUCUUUCGUCGUCCUCGUUAAAGAUGAGUUGCAAUCACUCAUUUCUAAUUAUUUUUGCAGGCUGCUAACUAUUUGAACAUCAAGAGUUUACUAGAUUUGACUUGCCAGACUGUGGCUGACAUGAUCAAAGGGAAGACUCCGGAGGAGAUUCGCAAGACAUUCAACAUUAAGAAUGAUUUCACCCCAGAGGAAGAAGAGGAGGUUCGAAGGGAGAAUCAGUGGGCAUUUGAAUGAUGAAUGUAAAAUGUCCUUGCAAUGUGCAUAUGAUGGUAUGAUGAUAGGAAUGUCGAUAUACGAUAGGAUGCUGUUUUUGUUCUGUGUCUCUUAAUGUGGAGGAUGAUUGGAAAUUUCCUUUUUAUGGUUGACAGCAUGUUUCUUUGAACACCUUAUUCUAAUGUAAUAGAGUUGAUAUCUAAAUGUGCAUGUCUCAGUUGAUUAUUUUUUUUCGUUGCUUUGCUUUCUUCCUUCAGCUGGUUGCUAUGCAUUAUGAUAAUUGCAAAUUUUGUUCCUGACUGCUAAUUCACAGGAAUGUGAUUGUUCAAUGCAUGGUUUAGCUGAUGAUCAACACUAAGGAUGUAUUGUCUGCUUCUUUAAUUGCUGUCAUUUCUUGCUCGAAUAUGACAGGGUAUAUCAUAUGAAAUAGAUUUUUGAUUAAUCGUGCAAUUUACAUAGGAUAUAAUCAAUUGUAAAAUCAAUAGUUGCUUAUGAAAUAUUUAUUAUUUUUAUUGUAAACAAGGAAAUAUUGAAAGAAUAUCAUUUAUUACUUUUUGAAAUAUACAAAAUGACUUAUAUUUUGAAUCAAAAUAAUAAAUUAAAAAUGAUUUAUAUUUCGGAACAGAGAGAGUAAUCUAUAACUGCCAUCAAUCAAUAUCAACCGUUGAACUAAGUAGACCCAUAGUCUUUAUUGGUUUCAUUCAUUGCUCUUCGCCCCUUCUAGUCUUUAUUUUCUCUUUGGAACCAAUUCAGUUGUUUCCCCUUGUUUUAGGGGGGCCUAUUUUGGUAGAAUUGAGAGAUUCUUAAUAUCUUUUAACCAGUCUAAGGAUUUAUACGAUGAUGGUACAAAAAAAUUGCUUGGAUAUUUCCAUUUGAAGUUUAGAUGUUUUGGUACUAUGAAAGAUUGUUACUCGACUUAUUCCCUCCAUUCCGUUCGAAUUUGAAUGUUCUUAAUUUUUCAUAAGAAUUAAUGUUUAAAUCACCUUAAUUUUAAAAAAAAUAAAAAUAAUUAACUACUUUUUAAUUAAUGCUUAUUUAAUUGAAACAAAAUUUAUUGUAGGAAUUUUUUUUAGAAUAAAAUUUAUUAUAGAUAUUUAGACAAGAAUAAGUUGAAAUAAAAUAAUUAAUGAAAUAAAAUAAUUAAUGCUAUUUUGAUUUUCUAAAAGUGUAAUCUAAUACUACCUUCGUUCCAUAAUACUUGUUACAUUUGUGGUUUCAAGAAAUAAUAAAUAUCUUUCCAUGUUUACCCUUUGUAUAUGGCAAUAAUUAUUAUUUUAAUUUAAUGGUUUUUUUUUGAAAAAAUUAACAUUAAAUUAAGGAUAAUAUAGUCAAUUUACUCAAUAAUUGAUUAUAACUUAGACAAAUUUAAUGUUUUUCUUAAGGAAUGUGAAAUUCCAAAUGUUACAACUUCCUUUGUCCUAUUUAUAUAGAGAAUGUCAAAAUUUCUCUAGAAUUAAUGAGGUGGUCUUUUUGUGAAAUUCUUCCUAAUUUACCCCUAAAAAGAUAUUGAAGUGGUCCCCAAAUUUCAAUAAAAGGUGAUAAAUGAUGAGAGAGAGGAUAUGCUGCUUAAAUAAAGCAUUUUAUUUGUUUAGACUUUCAAUUGCAAAAAAAUGUAGGCCGAUUAAUUGCAAUUGCACACUAAAAUUUCAUUAUUAAAUUUGGCUUGAAAAAAUUAGCGUGGAAGUUGAAAGAAAGUUUGAAGCCAAAAUUUUCUACUUUAAAUUCUUUAUUUUGCUUCUCCAAAUUAACGUAUAAAAAAGUGAAAUUUUAAGUCAAAAGUUUUCAAAACUGAGUGAGUUCACAAUUUUAAAAUUUAAUCCACCAAUAUCAUGGACACAAUCCUUCAUUUUGAUUUGAAUACGGUCCCUCAAUAUUUGCUUGCAACUUCAGAAGAUGUGCCCAUAUUCAACAAUCAACCCUUAGAUUUGAUCUCCUUGUCAUUCACUCAAUAACCGCCUUCUAUAGAAUCUGAAACCACACCACCACCAAGUAACGUUCCAGAAGAGGUUCGAAAAGACAACAAAAGGAAAAACAUCAUUGAAAAUGUGAAAAAUACAGUUUGUAUAUUACUAUUUUCUGAAACUGAAAAGGGCGAGUCAAAUGCUCACAGUAUUCGUAAAGUUGCAGACAUUUUAUCCAUAUCUACUAAGACAAUUUACAGAAUUUGGCAUAACGUAAAAAAUAAUAAUUAUUUUUAUUUAAGCAAUGAAAUUAUGGUUUAGAUUUUGUAUCUCUUUCUUUAGCCAUUUAAGGAGUUCAUGAGAGUAAAUAUAAAUUGCCACAAAUAUUUUUAUUUAAGCACUGUCGUUUGGAGGAAAAUUUUCCUUCAUUCAGGAGCUGUGAGUAAAUUGCACUGUAUGUGCACACUUAAAUGUUAAGCAUAAGCUUCUUAGUGAAAUUUAGUCUGUGUGCAUAAUGUGCUUGAAUCCCAUAUUUUCUUAAUGCACAGUUCAGUCAAUUUUUGAACAUUAAAUGUCAACCACAAUAAUGUCUGCCACUUUCUUAAAAUACUAUUAAAGUAAAUGUUUAAUCUAUAAACUAAAGCAAGAGCAUAUUGGAUUUUUUGCUUUGGCAUUAGUCCCAAAUUACCAUAUUUGGAAAAUUUCUCUAUAUAAAUAGAACGUUCCAAAAGGAAAUUUUCUCUAUAUAAAUAGAAUGGAGGGAGUAUUAUAGAACAGAGGUAGUAAUAGUAAAUCAUAAAUUCUAACAGAUUUUUACUUUUAAAACUUUCAAAAAGAAAAAAAAAACUUUCAUUCAAAUCAAAAUCCUCAUUAUACUAUCUCUGUUCGAUAAUACUUGUCACAUUUAGAAUUUCACUUUUGUUAAAAAAAUAUUAAAUUUUUCCAAGUUACAAUAAAUUAUUGAGUAAAUUGAUUAUAUUACCCCUAAUUUAAUACUAAUUCUCCAAGAAAACCAUUAAAUUGAAAUAAUAGUUAUUGGUUAUAUACAAAGGGUAAACAUGAAAAAAAUAUUUAUUACUCUUUGAAACCACAAAUAUGACAAGUAUCUUGGAACAAAUUAUUUUCUCAAAUGUGACAAGUAUUAUGGAACAGAACAUUUAAUUUUAUGUAUAUGAGAAUCUGUUUCAUUUUUGCAACUAACUUUCAAAUGUUUUUUUACUAUAUAUAUAUAUAUAUAUAUAUAUAUAUAUAUAUAUAUAGAAACACCCCGAAUUUUUAUUUUUGAAACCUUUGAAUUUUUAUUAAAUUAAAAAUCAGAAAUUUUGACUAUGUGGGCUACGAAUAGAAUAUAGUCUCGAUUCGAGCUCAAAUUUGCCAGCUCAGCCCAAGCCCAAAAAUAUAUUAUCGGAAUCUUCGAUACAUUUAAUUUUAUGUAUAUGAGAAUCUGUUUCAUUUUUGCAACUAACUUUCAAAUGUUUUUUUACUAUAUAUAUAUAUAUAUAUAUAUAUAUAUAUAUAUAUAUAUAUAUAUAGACACACCCCGCGUUUUUUUUUAUCCAAAAAUCAAGUAUCAUUAUUAUUAUUGUUUUUAUUGUUAUGGAGUAAAAUGGAGAAAUGUUAUGGAAUCUAACUAAAUUAAUCAAAAUAAAUCGAACCGGGCCCGAAAUUCAAAUUUAUUUUUCGAAAACCACAUGAAUAACCUGAAAACCAAGUAAAAAAAACCUGCGAACCGAGCAAAAUCGAGCCAAAUCUUUGAAUCAGACCAAAUCGGUUCGAAUCGAACCGGAAUGAUCUAGAAAUCGACUUAGUUUCUUCUGUUCUUCCUCUCUUCUUCUUCUUCAGCACGCGCGACAGCCUCCUUCUCCUCCCUUUCCUUCUCAUUUCCGACCCUCGCUCGACGAGAGCGAGGUGGCGAUCGCCUUCCCUGGGGCCUUUAAUCCAUUUUCCCGCCUCCUUCCCCGCUAGCAGAGCCUCCAGUGGCGCGAACGAGACUGUCCCCGUCGACAGUUCUCGUUCUUCGAUCUCUGGCGAUACCAGGCGAUUCUGGCAAUGUGAAGCUUCAAGGUGAGCUCUGAUUGAUUCCUCUGUCUUGUGUGAACAAUUCCCAUCCAAGAAACGACGGUUUUGGUGGAAGGAACUGGAACCGCCAUGAAUAGCGGUAAGGGGCUGCUAUCAAGCUCGUUUCGACCAACUAGAGGGUUGAUCUCACUAAACCAACGCCGGAAAUGGAAUCCUUGCUGAAUUUCAAGUUGAAUGGUAUGAUCGUGGCGAAUUUCUGGGCAUUAUUGAUUUUCUGGCCACUGUAAACGGCGGAGGCGACUGCGUUCCGGUGACCGGCCGGCGAGACUCCGGCGAGGCACCAAGGACAGAAUUUUCCUCUCUUCGCGAGGAUUGUGGAAUCGUCACCCAAAUUUCAAUCGGUACGUUCUAAGACCAAUUUCCUAUUUUUGGUAUAAAUGCUUAAACUUAAUACUUAUUAGUUGAUUAAAUUAAAUUUGAAUGAAUAAUCAAUCAAAUAUAAUUUUUGCUAAGAAUCAAUCGAUAUAAUGUGGAUGCAAAUUAGUUCUGCAUAUUGUUAUAUAUAUUUCAUGAACAUUAGUUACAACUAGAAGGUUCGGUAUUAAGAUAAGAAUUCCUAGCUAAUAUUUAUGUAAGCUAAUUUAGGAAUUUUAAUAAAUAUUGGUAGGGGAGAGUUAUAAUUUAAGGCUUAGACAAGUAAAUAGUUUUAAAGCAAUUAAUAAUAUCAUUGAAUCAUGCUUGGAGGUUAAUAUAGUUUGUUAAUUAGUUAAUUUGGAACNNNNNNNNNNNNNNNNNNNNNNNNNNNNNNNNNNNNNNNNNNNNNNNNNNNNNNNNNNNNNNNNNNNNNNNNNNNNNNNNNNNNNNNNNNNNNNNNNNNUGGGUUGUGUGAAUUGAUUGAUCGAAUAAUUGAUAAAUAAGGUUAUGGCGGACGGGAUGAGUUGAUUUGAAUUGACCGACGGAUGGGCUUAGAUAUUAUAUUGUUGAAUUGUGGUUUAGUCAAAUUUUAGGGGAGGUGCUGCCGAAAUUUCAAUAGAAUCUAGACUAGUUUUAAUUAAUGACAUAAUUAAUAAGUUUAUUUAGAUUAAUUCUAUAACUUAAUACAUAAUAAAUAGAGUGCACUGAUUAUUUAUUAUCUUUAUUAUUCAUUUAAUUAUUUAAUUAUUUAUUUAUUUGCAUUGAUUUUGGAUGUUUAAUUAUGCAUUGCAUUACGAUGUUUAAUUGAUUAAUAUGUCUGCAUUUGAUUGCAAUGUUGGAUUAAUUGUGUUGUGAUAAUGCUAUGCUUUAUUUAUGUGGAAUUGGGAUGAAGUGGGUCACCAUGGGUUUGUGAGACCGUUACUGUUAUAUGGAUCCUGAUUACCGUUACCGUUAUAUACCGUUACUGUUAUAUGGAUCCAUUACCGUUAGCCGGGUAAAUGGCAGAUCGGCGCCCCCGUGUGCACCUACCGUUACCGUUACCGUUAACCAUAGGAUGACUGCUUGUUGUUGCGCACCUGAAAAUCUAGAUUUGAUCGCAGCCCGCAGGGUGGNNNNNNNNNNNNNNNNNNNNNNNNNNNNNNNNNNNNNNNNNNNNNNNNNNNNNNNNNNNNNNNNNNNNNNNNNNNNNNNNNNNNGGCCAGUAUGGGGGAUCGGCUCCCUAGUGCACAUGUGAGUGGAUGAGCCAUGUGGGAGGACGACUCAUCGGGGUUUCGGUGACACCGCUGACUAAUUUCCACGUGAUGUGAUUACAUGAAGAUGUUAACGAUUGUGGGUGCUGAUAAUAUGCAAUUUGUGUGAAUUCAUGUGUUGUGAAAUAGGUAUUCCUUCUUAGAAGGUUCACAUAUCUUGUUUAAUUUUUCAGGAAGUAAGUUUCUCUUCAAUUCGGUUAAGUUAUGUUCCUUUGCGCAGGGCUAGAAGAAAAUUUUUCCAGUUUCAUAAUUAUUUUGCUAUGUAAUUAUAUGUAUAAAAAACUAUGUAUACCAAAUAGUUAGUGACUCCGCAGUUGUAGAAUUUNNNNNNNNNNNNNNNNNNNNNNNNNNNNNNNNNNNNNNNNCUCAAUAUUAUUAAAUAUAUAUAUAUAUAUAUAUAUAUAUAUAUAUAUCAUCAUUCAUGGUUAUGGGAUUACAGUAUAUCUGUUUUGCAACGAAGAGUAAAGCUUAAUUAAUUUUUUAAAUACUUGCCUAAAUCAUUAAGAGCAAUCAUCAAUUAUAAAUUGAUUGCUAAUAAUUUAGCUAAUUUAAUUUAUUAAAUAAAUUUAAAGCGAAAAUUUUAACUAAAAACACUAAUCAAUAUAUAUAUAUAUAAUCUUGAAAAAAAAAAGAAUUUGACUUGACUCUCUCCAUCGAUCCUUCCUAUUUUUCUUUUUCUACAAAUUUUUGAAUUUUCUACUUUAUUUUUUGAAAUUUUUGAUAGGAUGAUUCUUGUUAAUGUUUUUAUAAUAAUAAAAAUUAAUCUAAAAUUAUUGAAUUUUAAAAUUUUUGAAUUUUUUUUAUCUAAAUCUAUGUAGCUAUAUGUAUAUAUCUAUAAAUACCUCCCACUUUCAAUGAUUUUUUCACAAUGGUCUGUCUUCAUAUUGAUUUGUUGUUUCUUUAGAUUAUUUUACUUUCAAUUUUUUGAGUUUUGAUUGUACUAUAUAAAUUUUUAUUUUUUUAUUUUAAUAUAUAUUGUUAUUAUUGUUUUUCAGAUUUUGAAUUACAAAAAGACGAUAUUAGCAAUUUCAAUCGAUAUAUAUCAUGUCUCUUCUUCUUCAAUUAAGUACAAUAAAUUAUAUAAUAUAAAGUAUGUUUAAUAGUAAAUUUUUUCUUGGUCUAUGUAGUUUUUAAGUUUAUGAAUGAAAUGUCAAUAUUUAUUUAUUUAUUUAUUUAUUUAUUAUUAUUAUUAUUAUGUCAUUUCUUUUAUCUGUUUUAAUUAUUAGGUAGGAGAUUAUUAUUAUUUACAUAAAUUAAAAGAAAAAAACAUUAAAUCCAAUAAAUACAUUUAAAAUAACAAAGAGAGCUUAUAAGAUAACAUCUAAUAAAUUAAAAAAUAAUAAAUUUAAUACAUUAAAAAUAAAUUUAGUUACCAUUUAUAUUUAAAAUGAUAUUCUUAUAUCCUUAAAAUUUUGUUUUUAUUAUUUAAAUAUUAAAAAAUUAUUUUUAACAAUCAUAUUUUAAAAUUAAUAGUCAUUGACAAUAAUUAUCUAUAUCUAUAUCUAUAUUUUAAUUUUAAAUUUUGAACAUUUUUGUCUUUUAUUAGAUCACUUAAGAUACUUUUUCUAAGUGUAAAAUUUAAAAGUUUUACUUAUUUAAAAUAAUUAUUUAAUUUAUAUUUGAAUUUUGAAUAUUUUUAAUUUUAUGUUAUGUCUAUGUAUUUAUAACGAUUAUCUGUUUUUAUAUCUAUGUAUCUUCAUCACCAUCAUACUUGAAGAUGAUCAAUAAAAAAAAUUGCAAGUGAAAUAAUUUUAUUCAUCAUCACCAUCAUACUUGAAUAUGAUCAAUUUAAUUUUCUAGCAAUAAUUAUAUGGUACAAAUAUCAUUUAUUAUUUAAUAUUCACUUUAUGAUUUUAAUUUUUUUAAAAAUAAUAAAUAAACUUGGUUUUUCUUUUAUUUGCAGUUGCAAAAAGAUUUGAAUAAAAGAAAUCAUAUAAUCAAUUGCCAAAAUUAUAAUAAUUUGCUUAAGUUGAAAAAUGAACAUAAUUCAUGUUUUUUCUAAAAAAAAAAAAGCCUAAUAAAAAGCACAAAAAUUUAAUUUUAUUAACACACAUAACAGUAAUUGAUAACUCAUCUAAAUCUAUUUUAUAAAAGAAAAUCAAAUAUCCCACGCUGCAGGCCUUUAUCUAGUUAAAAUAAAAUUCUACAAACUGAAAAAGGCAAUUAUGAAAGUUAAAAGUUAGAACUUAGAACAAAAAUUUUCAAACAAUCAUCUGCUUUAUAUAUAUAUAUAAGCCUAAAAAUGAUCACUUUGAGAAAAAAAAAAUCAAGAAGGAAUGUGAAUAAUUUCUGCUACAAAUUAAUAUGGUUAAAAAACAAAUCUAAAUAUUUAAAAUCUAAAAUCUACGUACACAUAAUCAUUAAAUGAUUUUGUAAUGCAAUAAUAAAAGUAAAAAAGGACUAUUAGCAAAAUAAAAAAUAAUUUUUUUUUGUUAAAAAAAAAAAAAUUAAAGUCAGACAACCUGCCUGUGAUUAAUUAGACAAAUAUUAAUUGCCAAUUAUUAAGCAAAUAAACUAAAAAUGUCUCCUUAUAACUAACUCUCAAAACAACGACGAACCAAUUCUCAAAAGAAUCUAAACCCUAACUUUAAUUAACUAAAUAAUAAUUCAUAUUAAAAAAAAUUAACUAAAUAAUAACUAUCCAGUGAAGUCAUGCAUAUAGCUCUUGUAAAGUUCAGCGGCAGCUUUAGCAGCACAAAGACCAGCAGUAAGAUUAAUCUUAUCAUCUUCUAAUCUUCUGCACUCUAUUUCCAAAUCAUUCAUAUGCUUACCCAAUUGCUCGAUAACCGAGCUUUGCCUCCCAACUUCUGCAGAAAGAUUCUUACUCUCUUCUCUUAACUUUCUGCAACUCUUGACUUUCAUUCCAACAUUCUUUAUAGUAAUCUACUGAUGAUUCCACAAUCUGAAUCUUGUCCUCCAAAUCACUUUUCUCACUUAACGUUCUGUUAUAAUUUUUUUCAUAAUCACAAGCAGCACUGUAGUAAUACUGAUGAGCUGAAUUCGCUUCAGAAAGCUUGUCAUUAAGUUCAUUUUUCUCUUCUGCCCAUCUUUUUUGGGCUUCUGCAAAAUCUAACUCCAUUUGUUGAUAAUUUUCUAUUAACUGAUAAACAGAACCAAGCUUUUCAUGUAGUUCUUUUUUCUCCUCAUCAUCAUUUUCAUACUUUCUUGAAUUCUCUUCUUGAACUUGCUCCAACAUUUUUAGACUCUCUUGCAGUUUUUCUUUUUCUGUAGUUUCAUAUCUAAUAUCUGCAAUAAGUUUCUCUUUCUCUUCCACCAACUUAAGGAUUUGCACAUCACAGAAUUUAACUGAGACAUCAAAAUCCUUUUUCAUCUUUUUGAGUGCUUGCUCAAAGAUCCGUUUCUCCAUUGUCAAUUUCUUGAGGUCCAUUUCGAGAAAACCGCAUCCACAUUUCAAUUUAAUUAUUUCUUCGCCUUUUUGGUCCAGUAGUCCAGGUGGUUUCAGUUGUUCUUGUUCUUUUGCUUCUUUCACUUCUUUCUGGUCUGCUACAGUUGCUUUAAGUUCUAUCUUUGAUUCAUGUUUCGAAUUAUUCCUGUUUUGAGCCAUUUCUUGAAUUUUCUCCGAUGUCAACUCAGAUUUCUUUGCUCUUUCUUCCUUAUUCAAGUUCUGUACGUUUCUAAUUUUUCUAUUUUCCACCUCAUUAUUAACAAUAUAAUUUGAUAUGCGUUCCUUGAGAUAAUCCAAAUACACUUUCAUUGAUUCGAGAUGAGCUUUCUCUUUGGAUCUUUCUUUCCUAAUCUUCUCAGCUUCCUCUUUCGAUGCAGCCUCUUUGAUGAUCUCAGCUUUAUCUUUGGAUGGUUCCAUCUCGGUUUCAGUAUUCAAUUUCUUGAUUAGUUCUUGACUCUUAGUAGGAUCCUGCAAAACAUAUUCUGGAAAGUUAAUGGAUAUAUAAAUACUAUCAACAAUAACCAAGGAACUUGAUAUUAAUUCAUUCUAAAUUGAACAGCACUAAACUUGUAUUGUAUUUUGUAUGCCCCAACGAAAUAUAGUAUAGUCAGACAUUAUAUCAGGUUAUUUCAAGAACUUUUUUUAUCAGCAACAUAUAUAUGUAUACUAUUAAUUUAUAUCCAAGAAAAACUUAAUCAUUUUCAGUUUAUAAACCUAAGUUACCUAGUAAAUGCCAGAUAAAAAAAACCUAGAAAACCUCAAUUUACAUCAGAUUGGUUAUGUAAUUACUUAAUCAAAAACACUAAUUGAUAUCAAUGUCAACUCAUGAAAAAAAAAAAAAAAAGUUAACUUUUAACUUUUAGCAUUUUAUGAAAAACUACCUAAAUUAUUAAUAGCUAAACUCUAAUAAAAGCCGUGUUAGUUAAAUAUCUUUUAGCGUAAAAAAAAACUAAAAGCUAACUUUUAGAUGUUACGUUAGUAUUUUAUAAAAAAUUAAUUCCUGUAAAUAGAUAAAAAAACAGCUAAUUUUGCGAAAUAAAUCCAAUUUUAUUGUUGCAGACAAUAUCAAUACAAAGCAGUUACUCUAAUAUAUUGAGAUCAAUAGUCGAGCAAACAAGAAAUUGAUUAAUUAACUCUCUCUCUCUAUAUAUAUAAAUCAAUUACAGGAGAACUUACAUUAGGUUUAGCGGUAGCAAAUUUUUGGAGAAGGCCAUACGAAAGUAGUAUAUGAGAUAUAAUUAUUAUCACCAACGACGUAAAAGCGCCUAAACCCUUAACGUAAACCUCAAUAUCUCCAAAACAACAAUGAAAGAAUAACACAAAAUAGAUCAAAAACCGCGCAAAACAUAUUGUACUAGUACCAUUGGAACUCUGCAAAAGAAAGUUAAUUACUUAAGUAAUUAUCCAUAACUAAAAACGCAUAAUUUAAAUAAAAAAAACAAGCAGCUAUGAUCUUGAAAGGGAUGGGGGAAUACUCGCAAAAGAACCCUAAUUUGGAUACUCACAUAAGUAAUGACGAUGCCAAAGCAGAAAUUAGUGAAAACCAAGAAUGUUAUGGCCAAACGUAAUUGAACUGUAUAUUGACUUAGAGAAAUACAAAUAAAUUUUAAAAUUAUCAGUCGCUCAAUCCAGAAAAUUGCAGUGAAGGCUAUGUCAUCAAGUUUCGUGUCUUCUUCUCCUCUCUUAACAAUAUUGGCCAUUGUUUGUUUGCUUAGCGGAAAAGUAGCAAUACGAAAAAUAUGAUUAGGGUUUUAUGGUUUAUACAUAGGCUAUUAUAUUUUUCCUAUAUAUAGGGUAAUUUUUACAUAAUUUGUUAUGGUUUAGGAUUGGCUGAGAAUCAAAUCGGUACGUGAAUGGAUAAAGAGUUUAUUUUUUUAAAAAAUAGCAAUUAAUCUCAAUUAAUAAUUAAUAAUUAAUAAUUUUCAAACAAAACUGCAAUAGCUAAUAGCAAUGUUCUGUUCUUAUAGGGAAAGUAAUUUAGAUGGGUAUAGGAUGUAGAAUGAAUUUGGUGCUUGGAGGAUUUAUAGAAUCCAUUAAAGACUGAGUCCGUAUAGGUCAAAAUCUUAAUUCUUAAUUCGAAGAAAAAGAAUGGGGUGAUUACAGUGUGAAUUUAGACUUAAAAUUUUUAUGGAAAUCUUUCAUUCCUGCUGCUAAAGAAUAUAAAAAUAUUAGAGAAAUAGAAAAUAUAUAGAAUAAGAAAACAAAGAUAAUAAUUAGUCUGCCUAUGUAGUCUACAAGAAAGAAAAGAGGAGAACUUUGGUUUCCUUGGGUCACUGGCCAUCUGCCGGGAGUUUCGGAUUUAUGGCUUGGGUUAGCAAUGGGACACUCUAAUUGGUUUAAUUUAAAGUUUAUCAAGUGGUUUGGUUUGCGGACCAAUCAUUUCUCUCCACUCUCUUUGAAUUGAAUGUUACACUAUAAGUAAAAUAAUGUCACAAUAUCAGAAGCAAUAUAUUCCUAAGAAUAUAUUCUUUGACGAGAUUCCCACUGAAAGGUUCAAUUGUUACAUUAUAAGUUUAACAAUUUAUAGGUGAGAUUGUCACGCCACAGUUAACAAACAAAAUAUUAUUGUUAUUGUUACACUAUAAUUACAACUAUAGUGUUGCAACCUACAAAUAUAAAAUAUGUACUGUGUCAUUGUUAGUGUAAUAAUAUAUUUUGUUUACACCUCAACAAUUUGAUGCCAUGAAAGAGAUGUUUGUGGGGAAGAAAAAUAUUCUUGUAUUAGGCAUAAGAGGUAUAAGAACUAUAAAUUAUUAAAUGAAAAAAAAAUGUGUAAGAAGUGUAAAAGAGUAAAUUAUUAAAAGAAAGAAAUUUCUUUGUAAGUGCAAGAGAAUAUUUACUAUUCCACUAUUCUAAUCCGUGAAGCUUGGUAAAUUGUAAGUGUAUAUAAAGGAAAGAACAUUGCUUCUCCCAUUUAUCUACAUGAGGAGUGCUUUUCCCUUAGUCUCCCCUUCUUGCUUUGGUAAGGUUUAAUUUUUUUUUUUUUUGUUAAUAUAUUUUGUUACAUAUUUGUUAAUAUAUUAUGUUCAGAUAUGAAUAUGAGUGUUAUAAUAUACUUGUAAACUUAAAGAAUAUAUUCUUUCUGACACUGUGACAUUGUUUUAAUUAUAGUGCAACAUUCAACAAAAAGAGAGUAAAGAGAAUAUUGUUCUAUAAAACUGCUGGACAACAUUAAUAUAAAUUAAAAUUGAUUAUUUUUAUUGCAGUCAUAGUGUAAUAAUGCAUUUGUUAAAUUAUGACUAGAAUAAAAGCCUUUGAAAUGUCAACAAAACAUUGUUAUGAUAAAUAUCAAUAGUUCAUAAUAUAAAUUUAUGGAAAUUUAAACAUCUAAUUUCUACAAUUAAUGAGUUAAAGAUAGCAUAAUAAAAUUAUUUGAGAAAAAAAUUAAAUAAAAUCAAAAUUACCUUGUUUAUGCUCAAUAUUGAAUCACCUCUAUUUAUCUUCAAGACAAGCAACCGUAUCUUCUAUUAUCAACUUGCUGUAUAAAGUGGUUAGAAAUCAAAAGACACAUUAUAGUACUUACCCUUUCAUAAACUAAUGUGGUUAUGGAUUUAUAGCUAUUAAGGAAAAUAAAUUGGGCACGCUUCGCAUUUCAGUGACCUAGCAGCCAAAUUAUGUUAUGCUGUUUAACCUAGCUUUUUAACUACUGAUGGAAGAGCAUUUAGCAUCUCAAAGGGACCUAUAAAAUGCUAUCAUUGAAGUACGAGAAAAUAUCGGUCAAUUAGAGGUUACAAAGCUGACCCAACUGUAGGGUAGAGCAAACCGUUUGUUAAGUUCAAACCGAAAUCACAAAAUAUAAACCGAAGUUUCUUUAUAAUAAAUCAAACUGGAAAGAAUUUUUGUAAUGAAUCGAAUCAAUCGAACUGAAUCAAUCGGUUUGGUCUAUUUUUAUCGUUUUCACCGUUUCAGUUUUGUUCUAAAUCCAAUCACUGAAUAUUUAUGUAACCGAAUUGAACUGAACAAUAAAUUUGAUUCAAACCGAAUAAUCUGACUGACCGAACCUCUCUUGGGCAUCAGACCGAAUAAACCGAAAUGAGUCGGUUUGAUUUUCAAUUCGGUCCUACCGAUAAUUUUGCUCGCCUCUACACAUGAAAAUAUCCUUUUAACCUAAGAAGAUUAUAAUAUAUGUUUGACCCAAGAGAACGUGGGUCGACCUCGGCCGUUCUAUCAUUAUCUAGGCAGCCUACGGUUAGUUAAGUGGGUCAAGGAGCAAAUUGAUAUUUAGAGGACAUCAAUCAAUAUGGCCCAUCUAAAUUUAUAAUUAGACUUGGGCCAAGAUUAUGGAAGGCCUCCAAAGCAAAAGGAAUAUCUAAUAUAUGGUGCCUAUCCUGAAAAUUAUUAAGAAUAUCUUACAAAUUAACUUGAUCAAAUCUUUUUUUUUUCUUUUAAGAAACUUGAUCAAAUCUAAUAUUCUGAAAAUUUUCAAAUACAUUUUUUAUAUUAUUCUAUGCAUCUCUCUAUAACCUACGGGUUGUGACUCAGUUGGCAAUAUAGACUGAGCAGGUGGGAAGAGUUCGGGUUCGAUCCUCACUAAAUGCACUUGCAAUAGAAAUGUGAGAAACCUUAAUUGUGACUAAGUUCCGAGCUGGAAAAAGACAUCCUGAUGAUGGAGUCCGAAUACCGGUAAUUUAUUUUAAGAAAAAAUGCAUCUCCUAUAUGAUAAUCCUUCAUUAAUUUGUUAGACAUAUGAUUCUAUUGCUAGGGAAACUCAUUCUACAAUAACAGUAGCAACAUGUAGAAAUAAGUGUAAGUAACGAAAGUAAUAGCUAAAAUGAAUUAAGAACUUAACACUAAAAUAUUUAAAAACUUUUCAGAAAAAAAAAUUACUGCUCCGUUUAUUUCUGUAAACUAACUUACUGAAAAAUAUUUUUGUGGAAAACAUUUUCCUUGAAAAAUAUUUCUCAAAUAACUUAUUUUCUAUUAUUUGGUUAUAAUAUUGAAAAUUAGUUAAAAAUAUUAAAGUUUUUAUCUCAUAAGAUCAUAAAAGAUAUUAAUAAUAAUAGACAUUUUAUAAUUUAAAAAUUUUAUUGUUAAAUAUGAAAAGCAUGCAAAAAAAAAAUGUAAAUUAUGAAAGUCGUCGGUGGCUGGUGGUAAAUGAUGACUGGUGGUAGUGACUACGAUGAUUAAUAAAUUAAAAAAUAUAUAAAUAUAUAAGGUUUCCCAAUGUCCGAAAAAUGUUUUACUCUCUCAAAUAUGAGAAGUUAUUUCCUUAAAAAAUGACUUAAUUUUCCAUUGAUUAGGAAAACAUUUUCCAUUUACACAUUUUCCUGAAUACUCCAAACAAUGGAAAAUUGUAAAAAAUAUUUUCUGUAAAUUAUUUUACGAAAACAAACGGACCCUAACAUGAAAAAUAAUCUAAAUUUCACAGUCCAACAUGGCCUAUUUCGUUUUCCAAAUGAGCUAACUCAUAGAUGUUUUAAGUUUAUUAACUAUUUAAUAAUCAAAUAAUAAUUUGCUAAGUGAGGCAUAAUUUUCCAAAAAUAACUUAAGAAAGAACAUGAGUUAAUAAGAACUAAGAGAUCGUACAUGUCUUAGAUUAUCUAAUAUAAUUUGGAUUAGACAGAGGCUGUAAAAGGCAGGGACGAGAAAUUAAAAAAAAAUAAAGAAAUAAACAGAAAAAAAUAAAUAAUUUGUUUCAAGUUUGGUAGUUACAUUUUAGUGAUAUUAAAAUACUUUUUAAUUUAUUUUCAUUUUUAACUCUGUCAAGUGGUUGCAUUUUUCUAAAAACAAACACAUAAAUGCGUAAACUAAUUUAAUUUAGUGGUUAAAAUGCAUUUACUUACUUAAUCCUGGUGAUUGUAGAAUUGAGCCAUAGAAUUAAACAUUUUAAGACUCUAAACAAAAGAACAGGAGUGAGAGGAUAUCUUUAGUAGUAAAAAUAAACAAACAUAUACAGAAUAUAAAGAAUUUUAGCGGAAAAAAAAGAUCCAUAGACCCUUUUUAAUAUGUAGAUUGGUACUGUUAAUAAUUUUAUGAUGUUUGAUCAUAUGAAAUGAGAAAACAACAAUCACGUAUUAUUUUGUUACUUAGAUAAUAAACGAAUGGUUUUUGCUUGUGAAACAUCGUAACAUUAUAAUAGAAGAAUGCCUUAGGUUUCAUGCCGUAUGACAUACAUAGAAUAUUCACCGAGAAGUUCGCAAUUAAAAGAGAUAAUUUAUAUGAAUAAUAAUUAUAUAAUAAAUAUAAGUGACAAGAAUUCCUUACAAAAAGAUAAUAAACUGUUAAAAUUAAAUUGCAAAAAUCUUCGACUAUUUUCAUUUACUGAAAUCUAUUCUUAAUAAUUUUAUUGUCAAUAUUAUCAAAUAUAUAUCUUUUAAGGGUAAAUCAUUAAAUAUACUCCAAACUUUACGUAUUGUAAUAAUUACACCUUAAAAUGAACUUAACCUCUCAGGCACCCCAAUUUAGGCAUGACCGGUUCAAAAUUUUUAAAAUGUUGAACCUGAACAAGUCCUUGAACAACCGGUUCCGACUCUGGCCGGGUCCGGUGCGGUUCCGUUGAACCGACUGUUCCGAUCAUGGUUUCCGGCGAUAUAUGUUUUUUUUUUAAAAAAAAAAAUCAGUUUUAACGUUACAUCUUUUUUUUUGAAAAUAUUAAUAUGAGUUUAAAAAAUAUUGGUAAAUUUUAUUUUAAAUAAAUUUUAGAAUACUCAUACUCAUAUAAGAAUAAAAUUAAUUAAUUUUACAAAAUAAUCAAAUAAGUUAUCACUUUAUUUUGUUCAAAUUUUAUUAAUUAAAUAAAUUAUAAGAAAAUUUUGAAAAAUGCUUCAAAAGAAUGUAAUUUUAAACUUAGUAAACAAUUUAAAAGGGUAAAAAAAAAAAAAGAGUUAAAAACAAUAUAAGUUUAGACUAAAUAUUUCUCUCUUUUUUCUACCAUUUUACUUUUUAGAUUUUUAACUUUUAAAGUAAAGUGUAUUUAAAAAAAAAAAAGAACUUAAGUAAAGUAUAUCAUGUAGUAAAAUAUUAUUGAGACUUUUAGAGAUGUAUAAAAUAGGCUAAGUGAUUAUUAUUUUGAAAAUAAAAAUAAAAAAUUUUCGGUUCAAAUCGAACUGAAACCGCCUAUUAACUGACGGUUCAGGUUUAGAUUUUAGCAUUGACAUGAACCUUAACCGGCCUUUGAACUGCCGGUUUCAGUUCAUCUACAGUACAGUUCGAUUUUGGUUCAAAAUGAAUCGGUGGCCAUUCCUACCCCAAUUGCAAACUUUUGUGAAAAUUGUACCCUAAUUUUAAUUUGGUCAAAAUUAAAUAAUAAAAUAAUAUUAUUAUGGGACCUAUAGUAACUACUUGGGUUGAAUUAACCAUGCCAUGGGUUAAGUGAAACAGAUUGUGUCACUUAAGGUUGGCUCCCUCACUCUCCUUAAUCUUUCUUUUCUUAACCACUCUUCUCCUUUACCUCACCUUUCCAACAAAACGACCAGUAACAUAGAAGAUCAAAGCACACAGCAAACUAUAAUUUUAAAUCAAACAGUAACACUAUGAACACAAAAGGGCACGAGUUAACCCUUUAGUGCUAUCAUAUAUGCUUCCCGAGCUAUUUUCUAGUCUCUCCUAAUAGUGACAACUUCGCCCUUGUCAUAUUAAAACUUCAUGGUGAGAUACUUGAUGCAUGUGGCCGCUUCCAAUUCAUAUACGGCUAGUCUUCCCAAUAUGACAUUGUAUCGAAAGUGAAUAUUUGCUACCAUGAACUCCAAUUUGAGUUUCCUUGAUGAGACUUCGGUUCUGAGCUCUAGAGUUAUGUCUAUAGAUCUAGACACUUGUACAGGUUUUCCUGCCAAGCCGACUAAAGGGGUUUGGAAAGUUUUAAGUUUCGCCUGGUCUAGUUUUAAAGCCUUGAACACUUCCAUGUUCAACAAGUUCAUUGCACUACCUCCAUCCACCAAGAUUCUUUUUACUAGAAAGUUUUCCAAAAUUCCCUCAAUUACUGGGGCAUCAUUGUGUGUGGUAUUUACAAGUUCACCGUCAGCCUCAGAGAAUGAUAUGGGCGGCCUAACACUUGGUUUUUGCUAGAGUAGAAUGGAAUAGAUUUUCCUGGCUCUCAUUUUCCUAGCUGAAUUACUGUCACCUCCCGUUGACCCACCAAAUAUGGUGUGGAUUGUGCCCAGGGUAUGACAUUCUUACACCUGCUUGUCCUUUUGUUCACUUUCUCUCCGAGCUCUCCCAACAAAUUACUUUAGUUUGCCUCUUUACACAAGGCAUUCUGUCUCUUUCUUUAAUUACCAGCAGGCUUCAAUCUCAUGGCCUACAUCGCUAUGGAACUCGCAAUACUUGCUCUUAUCUCGAUAGCUCGAGGUAUCCUCCUUUAUCUUUCUAGGAUAAUAGAACUGAAUUUGAUCGCAUUGUUCUCUUACCUGGGCCAAUAUUUCUGAAUGCAGUCUAUUCAAAUGGGUAAACUCCCGAUCUUGUUGUGGUUUGCCAUCUCUUGAGUAUCAUGUUCGAAUAGAGUAACUGGUUUGUGGGAACCAGAUGGACGACCUCCUUCGGGGCGAUCGUCUCCUUACCGGGGAUGGGUGUCUUUUGUGUCUAUACCUCUCUUCUUUGGGCGAUCUAUGCUGUUGUGCCUCAUAGACUUCAUCUAGUUUUGUGUAUUUGUGAGCUCGUGUCAUGAGUUUGGUGAAUGUUAAGGGAGGGUCUAUACUUAAACUCUCAAAUAACUUGUUGUACCUGCAAUUCUUUGCCUUGUCGCUAAUGGCCACCUUAUCAUUCAAGUUCUCCAUUUGUAUCGCCAUUCUUUAAAAUUUGGAUACGUAUUACCUUAGGGUCUCCCCCUCUUCUCUUUUUAAACUACAAAAGUUUGACAAUAUUUUUCUGGAUGGUACACAUGUUAUGAAACGAGCUCGAAAUGCUGUGGCUAACUGGGAGAAGUAAUGAACGGAUCAUGUUUUGAGUGCUUGAUACCACUCUUGAGCUGCUCCUUUCAGGGUAAUUGGGAAGACUUUGCAUAUUAGAUCCUCCAAGUUUAUUUGAAGGUUCGGAAGAUCGCCAGAUGGCUUUGGGGAUCGGUAGAUCCAUCAUAUGCUUGGAAAGUAAGAAGUUUGAACUUCAAUGGGAAGGCUACAACCAAAAUAUCAGCUGACAAGAGCGAGUCUUGUCGGAGACCAUAAUCCCCUGUUUCUUCUGUGUCUCUACACUCUCGAACUAAUUCUUUGACAACAUUCCGGAGAUUAGCUCCGUCCAAGAUUGGCUGAGUGUGACUUAGCUCUUAGUUGUUGAGGUUAGUCACACUAGGGUCUACUUCAGAUUCUGCCUCAUAGUAUCGAUCAAACAUUGAAUGACUUUAGUAUAUAGGCGAGGUUGGAGGGAGGCUAUGUUCUAGGUGGGGAGGGUUCACCAGCUUGGUGGGUGGUACUAGCUCGCUGCUUGGCUUAGGGUUCUUCAAGAGGCGUUUGGUGGUGAACUGUGAAUAAGCAUGAGCUAGAGCAACUGCUACCUGAAGAUCAGUGGUCAUUGGAGAGGUGAAUGUGGGUUGUUGGUUGAUCCCACCAUAGGUGUUGUCUUGGCCUUUCAUGUUGAGGCAUUCACUGUACUCGUUAGCCAUAGGAACCGAGAAAAACUAUAGGGAUUUUUUUUUAGAGUUUGAAUGUAUAUUCCACCGAUUCCACGGUCAGACUUUAAGGUGUAGUAAAUUGUGAAACCUUUCUUAGAGUAAAUUUGGAGUAUAUAUACACUAGGUCCAGGACAAUUGUAUUAGGAUAAGAAUUACGAAUCCUAUAUUAUCCAUUAAUUAGAAUUUAUUUGAAAAUGUAGUAUUAUUAUUUUAAUAUAUUUUAUUAUUGUAUGUUAAUAGAAACAAUGAAAGGAAAAAAAAAAAAAAAAGGAGACAAUGCUGUCAAUAAUCGCUCAACCAUACCUUUUAAAUCUCCACGCGGAUACCAGAAAAAAUGGGCUUAUCAUGCUAGUAAAUAAACAAAUAUCCAUUUUCUUAUUUGAUUUUGUACCCAUAACUCAAUCAUAAUGCUAUUGUUUCGAAAGAGAAUGCAUAGAAAAAGGAGUGCAAGGGAAUCAAAUCUUAAGGAAGCAGACCUGAUAUUCGAGAAGAGGAGAUUUGGAGAGAUGGAGAUUGAGAAGAAGAGGAAUAGUCUUUGUCUUAUCAAAAGGGUAUUUAAGUCUUUCACUCAGCAUUUAACGGUAAAAAUUGCUAAAAUUAAACUGAAGGACCAUUUAAUGAGACAGAACCAAAAGAAAAACAUGAGGAUGAGUUAAUUAAUUUUGUAAAAUCUCAGGAACGAAAUAAUUAUUUUUCCUUAAUUAACUUAUUAAAUACUACAAGUAAGUCAAAUUCUAUAAUUCAAAAAUAAUUCAUUAAACUCUGUAUAUUAUAAUGCAUCGAGAGAAAUUAAUAGUUAUUAAAUCAAGAAUUAAUAGACUAUGAAAGCCAAUAAUUAAAAAAGAAACGAAAUUACAAAGUUAAAUAGGAUUUUAAUUUUUUUAAAAAAAUAAUUAUUCAAAUAUUUUCCGUUUAUAAUUUCAAGGGGCCAUUUGCCUCUUGCCCAAAUGUGGCUCCGUUCAUGCUUAUUUUGUUAAAAUAAAAGUAGUUACACUGCUAUGGCGUUAGCAACAAUAGCUUUGAUAAUAAUCUUAUCCCUUUUUUAUAAUUUUAUAAAAAGAAUCAACGUCCUUCAAUUGAUUGAAAUAAGAAUAUAGUUUUAAAUUAGAAUCCAGAAACAAUGUAACUUUUAUUACCUAUCAAGAUUCCAUUUGUUUCUCAAAAAUAAUUUGUUUGAAAAUUAAUUUUUAAACUUUUAAUGAUUUGGUUACUUAAAUAAUUAAUUAAUGAAAUAUAUAUUCUUAAUUAAAUGAAAAACUCUUUUAAGAAAAAUAACUUAUUAUUUUUAAAAGAUAAAAAUAUUUUUUUAUGUUAACAAAUUUAUUAUAAUCUUAUAAAAACACAUUUAUUAAUUCAUUAAUUAUGAAUAUUCACCAUCACUAGUCACAGGCAAUUACUGGAUAUUAAUAAUUAAACUUUUUAUGCAUUUUUCUCAUAUUUAAUUCUAAAUAUUUAAAAUACCUAAUUUGUGCAAUUAUAAAUAUUUUAGAUUCUUAUAAAUUAAAAUUUUUAAUAUUUUUUAUUAGUUUUUAAUUCUACAACCAAUUAACAGAAAAUGAGUUAGUAAGAUAUUAAAUAUUCUUCAAGAAAUAUAUUUUACUUUGAAACAUAUUUUCAAAAAUAAAUUAUUUUCUAGCAACAUGCGGCUGUAAAAUUUUUAAUUUGAAAAGGAAACAGUAAUGGAAAUUAAAAACCACCCUUAGAGAAACCCAUGAGCUGCAUCAAGCAUGCAAUAAGCAUGGAAUAAAUGUCAAAUCCCACCGUCCAUAACAAAUCCACUAAAAUGACAUCCAAACCCAUCAUCGUACAAAAUGAAAUAUAAUAUAAAAACAUAAUAUUCCAUCCCCUAAUUAACAUCAUCAUAUUAUGUACGUACCAAUGACCAUACGAUACGAUUUAGAAUUUCGCAUCUAAUAUUACACGGUCCAAACCGCCCCAAUUCAUUAAUUUUAUUUAAUAAAUUUAAAAUAGAUGAGUGGAUUAAGACUGCGUUGAUAUUAGGUUUGAUUUUAUAAGAUCAACCAAAUCCCGAUUUAAAUUUAUUAAAAAUUUAAAAGAAAGAAGAAGAAAUCGAUUGGAUUUGAGACUCUCUAUGAACCUGUUUUGAUGACGUAGUUUGUUUACUUUUUGAUUAUAUUUGAUUCUUUGUGUAUAUACGACGUCACAUUAAUGGCACGAUGAAUGCAUGUUUCCUUUUCAUGCAUUUUGUUUGGACGUGUUUGGUUCAUUCAAUUCUUUGUUUUAGUUCAAUAAACCGGUGGUUUUUGGACUCUUGACGCUUUUAAAUCCGUCCUCGUAUUCGGAGCUUGCUGGUUUUGUUCUCAUUUCCAGUUACGACGCAAUUCUAAAAAUGCUCAGUUCCGGCCAGUCGUUGAAUCUUUUUCAGUCUUUCUUUUACUGGAAUCGAUCAGCCUAUUGAAUUGAUAAUCUUGAUAUAAUUUAAGUCAAGUCCAAUACCUUGAUUUCGAUAUUUUCAGAAUCAGAACUCUCAAAUUGAUUUUGAUCCAACUUACUAAAUUGAUUCUCAUACUAACCCGACCUGUGGCUAGUGUUAAUUUUGUUACUAAAAUAUAUAUAUAUAUAUAGCUUAUUGUUUAAAAAGAAAAAAGACUUAAUUUAAUAUAGGAGUUUUUUUUUUUUUCUAAAUUGAAAUCAAAUAAUCCUAAUUUUUUAGUUUCCUUUGUUUGGAUGGAUGAAAUGUGAUUCACGGAUUUGAAUGAUAUUUUUGCAAUGGAAUUAAGUUGUCUAAAUUCCAUCAUUAAUUAAAAAAAUAUGGUCUUAGAGAAAUUUUACCUAUUAAGGGGUUUUUUUUUUUCCUUCUAAAAUUGUAGAACUGAGGUUAUGAUUGGUAAAUUUCAUGAAUAUUUUUUCUCAACAAACAAAAGAAUUUGUUAAAUCUGUAAUAUUUAAAUUGUAUCAUUCAAAUUUUACUAAUCAAAGCAAUUUCAAAGUGCAUUUCUUAUAAUAAUAACUUCAACAAAUACCCGUGAUAACUUGGUCUAAUAGUUAAAGCACACUAGAUCUCACUAUGAUGAUCGCAUGGUCGAAUUGUGAAGUUGGCAUAUUAAAAAGGUCUUUUAAACAUAAUUGCUCUUCGGCGCAUAAGAAAGUAGUCUCUCGUCUAAUAUUAUAACGCCUUCUAUACUUACUAUGAUUACUUGCCUUUUUUUCAAAAAAAAAAAAAAAUUAUAUACACAUAUUGUUUUUAAAUAUAAUAUUAUGGCAAGGGAUUGAAUUACAUGGGGAAAAAAAAGUAGAAGAUUUAUAGGAUAAACAAUAUAAUAUUUACAGUUGCGCAUCCAAAAUUACACGGUCCAAACCGCCCCAUUCAUUAAUUUUAUUUAAUGAAAUUAAAAUAGAUAAGUAUAUUAAGACUCAAGAGAGUUAAAAAAAGAAAAGUUAAAAAAUGAUAAUAUAAAAAAAAGGCAAGUUAAGAGUUUGCCUUAAUAAUAAAAUGAAAAGUAAAAAUAUUACAGCGGUUUAUGAGCUGGCUUUAUUUAUAAUGAUAAGUAUGAUAUAUUAUCUCUGUUUUUAGUAAUGUAAUAUGAUAUGUUAUCUAAACGCAUGGAUAUGUUAUCUAAAUGCAUGCAUGUAAUUAUAUAUGUUAUUUUAUGAUGUGCUUAAUUUUUCUCGUGUUAUAGUCGUUCAUGUAAUUUUUUAUUUAUAUAAUAUUAAAAUAUUUUUAAUAGUGAUUAAUUUAUAUUGCAUUUUAUAUAUAUAAUAAUUUUUUUUGUUACAUGUCUUUCAAUGUAACAUUUAAUUAAAAAGAACCACUCAAAAAAAUAUUUAAUUAAAAAGAAAAUGAUACUUAUAUUAUAUUUUUAAAAUAACACUUUUUAUUUGUAUUCUCUUUGAGCUAUUGAUUCACUACAACGUGGAAAACAUCUGUUAAUUAGGUAAACUGAGUUGAUAUUAGGUUUGAUUUUGUAAGAUCAACCGAACCCCAAUUUAAACUUAUUAUAAGAAAGAAGAAGAAAUAGGAUUGGAGUUGAGAGUCCUUAAUAUGAACCUGUUUUGAUGACGUAGUUUAUUUACUUUUUGGUCGUAGUUGAUUCUUUUUGUGUACGUACAUAUACGCCAACGUCACGUCAAUAGCACGCAGAAUGCAUGUUUCCUUUUCAUGUAGUUUGUUUGGACGUGUUUGGUUCAUUCAAUUCGUUGUUUUAGUUCAAUAAACAGGUGCUUUUGGAUUGCUGAGGUUUUUAAUAAAUCCGGGUCGAACACCUUGAUUUCAGUAUUUUCAGAAUCAGAACUCCCCGAAUUGAUUUUUCUAAAUAUAGCAGUAAUAUAUUUUUCUAAAUUGAAAUCAAAGAAACCUAAUUUUUUAGUCUCUUUCAUCAAAUUGAAAAAACAAGCACUUAUUUUAAUUAAUAAAAUUUGAAAUCCAUGGAUUUGAAUGUUAUUUUUCAAUAGAAUUAAAUGGUUUAAAUUCAAUCAUUAACGACCAACAAAGUAUUGGUUAAGGUGGUAAGCAAUCUCGAUGUCCAUAAAGGUGUCAGAUUGUGACAUCCUUUUGUUCAAUUUCUACAUAUUUUCCAUGAAAUACUUUAUGAAUGAUGAAAAUCUAAUAAUAUAACGGAAGCAAAAUAUGGAGAUAUAUUAAUAUAUUUAAAAAAAAAAAACAGAAACAGACCAGUUGUAUUUCAUAAACCGCAAAGAUGGUGUUAUAAUUCUUCCAUUUGAGUUUUGGCUUCUCGAGGGCAAAGGCAUAUACAAAUUGUGAAAAGCUCUUGAUAGUGAAUGAGAGCUGGACGACACUAACCUAAAAUAUAGUUAUAUUAGCGGUGGUGUGAUAGUUUCACAGCACCUAAAACUAUGUUACUACCAACUAAAACGUCACGCUCUUCUUCCAAAUAUGCACCAACUUCAAAAAAUUUAUGAUAAAAACAAAGUUUAAACAACAUUCCUUUGAGCAUUUAUAAUUUAUACUUUUAUUUGGGUUAAUUAGGUAAUAUAUAUCUAUCCUUCCGAUGUCAUUAAUUAAAAUUAUUUAUACCGUUACUAACUUGGUGAAUUCGAGUGUAAUCUGAUUUAUUUUCUUCUUUUCUGUCAGAAUGUGAGAGAUUUUUUUAAAUCGAGAAUUUAAUGAGUCAAAGAGAGACCUAUUUAUUUUGGUUCAUUAAUUCUUAUAAUGAAUAAAAAAAAUAUACCCUCGAACAUGAUAAUCACACCAACGAUUAUAUGAAAAGAAAAAAUAAAUCUUUUUAAGUGAAUUCAAUGAAUACAUUUUGAUCAACAUGCUAAAAUAUAAAUAUCAAUAUUCUAACUUGUAAUGCCCUAGAUUUUUUUUAUUAUCUAAAAUAAAUAAUGCAAGUGACUAAAAUGGUUAUUCAAAUUGAUAAAAUUCUACUUAUUUUAAUUUGAGUUCAUGAAUAUAAUGCUUUUACUAUAAUGUAGAAUAAAAGAUUUCUGUAUUGAUACAGAACUCAAAUAAUAUGACACUUGUGCAUAAUAUAUAUAUAUAUAUAUAUAUAUAUAUAUAUAUAUAUAUAUAUAUAUUCUAUACCUGACGAGAUUGAAUUAAACGGAAAAAUUAAAAGAUUUAUAGAAUAAAAAAAAAAAAAAUUUACUGUAAGCUUUAAUUACAAAUGACUGAAAAAUAUUAAAAUUUAUAAAUUAAAUAAUAAAGAUAAAUCUUAUUAACAUAAAUUUAAUUUUCAAAAUUAUCUAAUUCUACUCAUUUAGAAAUAUUAACUCAAUUAAAAAUAAGUGAUCAACUUAAAUAACUCCUUGAAUUAUGGUUCAGCAAAUUAUAUUUACAUUAAUAAUCUCAAUUAUUAAUAUCUUUUUUGAUAUUAAUAUCAGAAGUUCAAAUUAUGAGUGUUUCAAGUAAUUGCAUUUAUAUUAUCGUUCUAAUUUAAAUUAUUCUUAUUUAUAAGAAGUUCUUAAUCUUAAUUAGUGCUAUAUUGUUUGAGAAAAGCGGGAUUCGAACCUGAAUCUAUUGUCGGAUCAUAUAUACACUUGCCAUUAGAAUAUGCUUUAGUGUGUAUGAUUAUAUUUCUAUAAUAUACUAUAAUAUAGAAACCAUAAUGUCUUGAAGUAACCAUAAUGUCUCUUGAUUGAAAAUUUUCCACCUGCAACUGGAAGAUGCUAGUAAAGAAUCUAUGCCUUCAUGUGUAAACUUGGCCGUUGAGACCUUUAUGUAAAAAGAAAGACUAGUGACAUUUUGACCGUAAUUUUUAAGGAUUAAACCUAUAAAAAUAUCCUCAAUGUAACAUCCCUUCCCGGUCCACCCAUUAACCCUAAUGAACCGAGCCGAGACGCUACAAUUUGGUUGAACCUAUGUCCUGUCAUGCUGAUAUCAUCCUGUAUGCUAAAUAUUAUGUCAUGUUUAACAUCACUCCCAAUUAAACUCCAAACUUCCAACAUCUCCAAAUAAUCAUCAUAACACAAUAACACUAUUAUAUUUUCAUAACUGUAUAAAUCCUCAAUAGUAUUGAAUAUCCAUCAAAUAAUUGCAUUCAUGACAUAUAUCAAGUCUUAAUGAACUAUUUAAAAUAUUUCAUAUUCAAUCAUUUAAUAAGUAUUAUUCUUCUCUCCAAAUACUUACGCCAAAAUAAUUACAUGCUUCAAUUAUAUUUCCAAUAACAUAAUCUCUACAAAUGUAAUAAUUAUACAUGCUAUAAUUCUUAAUUAUAUAAAUCUCAAUCUCCUACUACCAAAGUAGUCACUUCUGCUUUGAUAUUACUCUUCACAUCUUCAAGUAGCAACCACAAUCUUCAACCUACGCGUAAUAAAAAUCGACGCGCUGAGUAUAAAACUCAGUGGUGCUCAUAAUUCACAUACUUACCAAAGUUGCGAUGGCAACUUACUUAAAAUACAAAUUUCAUAAAAUCAUUGAUAAUCAUAGAAUCAUUAAAUUUCAACAUAAAUUUACAUCUAUAGCAAAGAAAUAUCAAAUAAUCAUAUAAUUAAUAACAUACAUAAUUUAGUUCUAAUUAUACCAGAAAUCCUUUACAUAACCAUUUAAUCACACAUAGCAUUAUAUUUUCAUGAUCUUACCUUAUGUUCCUUAUGCUGUAUGAAUUAAAGAAAUAAACAUGUAAGCCCUAUGCUGUAUGAAUUAAAUAAAUAAAUAUGUAAGCACACAUAACAUUAUUAUGACUUAUGUAAUUUUUAGUCAACAUCGUAUAAGUUAUAAAUAAUAAAAUCUCAUAACUGUAUGGCUCCAUAAGGUUAUAGUGAAACCUAAGUGAUAAGAAGAACUGUAUGAAACUGGAUGAAUACUGUAUGGCUGGGCUGCUAUGGCCCAUAUAUAAUCAUAUCCACUCAACGGCCUGUAGCCGGAGUAACAAACUGUAUGGGGCGCAGAUAUGCUAUUCUAUGUCGCGAUAUAGCCUUAUCUACAUGGUUUCUACUUAACCUCAAUGGAGCAUAUUAUCUGUAUGUCAUUAAUACAAUCAACAUAUUAACUUAUUCAUGAAAUGCAUAAACCAUACUGUUUAUCUGUAUGCUGUCUCAUUAUGUAUGUUGCUAACCUGUUUCAUGCUUUCAUGCUUUAAAAAGGAUGUCCUAGACAAUUAUCAGUAAUAUCUAAUGAGUAAUAAUGCAAACAAUUAAUCACUUGUAAAGGAACUUGCAUGGAAAUAAUUUGACUGUUGCACCCGCGACACAACUCUUACUAAUCUUUAUGUAACUUAAUUUAUACCAAUCAAAUUAACAAAAUUCUUGAUUUUAAUAUAAGUUAACUCAGAAGGUUAAAUUCAGUAAAUAUCUUAGGCUGAAUGAAUCUACAUAUGCAUCCCAACAUCAUGUCUAAUGUAGCCUUGAAAUCUGCUAAGGCUGCCUGUACAUGUUUUACAAAUACUAGCAUAACUCUGUCUUCAUAAGUCCAAUUUAGGUAAUUCAAAAUUCUAUGGUGAGCUAACACAUUAGGGUACAAAUAUGUCUUCUAGCAUAUCUCUUAAUUAUGUUAGUAACGUAGUCAAAUAUUGAGCUAAAGUAACAACUUCCAGUCUGCCCAGCUUUUGGUUUCCAGCCUGCACAGUUUAUACCAUUUUGGACAUAUCUUUUAAUUUAUAAGUCCAAUUUAGAUGAUUUCCAAGCUUAUGGAUAGCUAAAACAUAAAGGAACAAAUAACUCUUAUACCACUUCCUAAUUCCAUCGUUUUCGUUUCUCAAACCUAUGAUUCAAGACAUAGAAAAUAUUCAGCAUUAAAUAAACUUUGACCUUUGCUGAGUGUUUAAGACAUAUAAAUUGAGUUAUAGGGCUUUAAAUUAAAUGAAAUUAGAUUAAUUAGAAAGCUAAGACAAAUUUAUACAAAUUUUAUAAAGGGAUCACAACCCAGAUCAAUGUGUAAGAUGGUGAACAAAGACUAGGAACACAGACCAACAGUCUAGACCUGAUUCAGCAGAACCAAGUCAACUGUUUGUUGUAUUUCUACUUAUCCAAACACUAAAACUAAACCAAUCCAAAACCAGAGAAGUCUAAAGACAUAGGGUAACAACUCUCAUGAAGACCUUAGAACAUAUUCUUGCCAUUAUAGUUGUCAAAAUGGGCACUCAAGUCAGUGAUGCAUGUGGCCCGUCAUAACAGAGUCAGUUUGGGUGUUUUAGCCAUAAGUGGAGCUAUAUAUAUCCAAAUUGAACAUAAGAGGAUGGGUUGGAAAGCUAAGAAGUAGACCUACAACUUUCAUGAAGAACUCAGAUACAACUGGAAAAUAAAAAGGAUCGAUACAUAGUCUUUAAUGCCACCUAAUAACACUUUUUCCCAAUUUCAGCUUACUUAAAUCAUAUACAAGGUAAAGAUUUCUUCCACAUACUAAAUACUCAUCAAAUAUCAUCUUAAGAGCAUAAAUCAACAAAGGAUAACAAGAAAACUUAAGGCCUUAUUCAUCAAUAGGUUCUGCCGCUCUUGGAAGAUGAAGAAGAAAAUGUUUUCCUCAUCAAUUCAACAUAUAGGCAUGCUUAGAAAUCUCUCAAGAACACAUUUAUACCACCAAAAUUGAAUAAUCAAAUCAUUUCAUAUAAAAUUCCCAAUUUUCACAAAAUAGUAUCAACUUCACAAAAUUAAAAAUUUAAACAAGGUAAGAGUGUUUAUGAACACUUACCUCAAAAUCAAGCUUGGAACACCCCAAAAGUCACCAAAUCAAACUUGAGUCUUGCAUUUAGCCACCUUAGAUAGCUCACCUUUUAAUUACCCUUAAAAAUUCUGCACAUCUUUAAGCUCCAAUUCAAUAAUAACCUUGAAUCUUCAAGAGGAAGGUCUUGGUUGGAGUUCAUAUGGUCUAGUUAGAGUGAUUUUUUUGUGAGAAAUUGAAAACAAUAAGGAAGAGAAGGAGAGCAUAUGGUUCGGCCAAGGAAGAGAAGAAAGAAAGAAAUGGUUGCUCAAAUCAUUCACGUUGAAGAUAAAAAGAUGAAGAGAAAAUGGUUGCUCAAAUCAUUGAGCACAAGGGUAUUUUAGUCUUUUCUCAACAUAAUUGGAUGGCUACGAUUAAGUCAAUGGUAAUCUAAUCCAAUGGCUAAAAAUAUUCUCCAAUUUAUUUCCUUCAAAAUAUUAUUUCUCUCCACAAAAUUCUUAAAUUUAAUCCUUAAAAAUAAGUUCUCUUAUUCCCUUACUUAAUAUAACACCAUCUCUAUUUACUUCAUAAAAAUAUUGCAUCUAAGUUCCUUAAUUAAUAUAACACUAUAAUUAACUAUUCACUAAUUAUCUAACUUCUCCAAAAAUAUUCAUUACUUACUUUCUACCCAUAAAAAUAAUGUAUACAUACUCCAAAAAUAUUAAAGACAAUAUUAAACAUACAUAGUAAUUUUUUUCGGACCAAAAUAAUAUCGAUUUCCGGACUGGUGGCACUAUUCACACACUGGUAAACUUACUAUUUCAGACAAAGAAAAAUGGGGCGUUACACUCAAUUUUUCGAUUUUCUGUAUAAUCACUUUAUGUUACUUUUAUAUGCUGCGCGCAAUGACGAAGUCAGGAUUAUAAUACAAAUAAUGUAUAAUAGAUGAUUUAUCAUUUAAUAAAUUAUAUACUACACUUCUCUAUUUAAAAAAUUAUACAAAUAUUAUGAGGAAUGAAAAGUUUAAUCAAUAUAAAUAACAUCUUUUUCCUCUUCAAACAAACUCAAAAUUUAUUGAAUAACAAUUUCAUAAUAAAAGGUUCUUUCGCUCCAUAAAAAAUCAUUCUUUUGAUUUCAUAGUUAAAAACAUAUUUGGAUUGUUUAUGAAAGAAAUGAUAAGAUGAAUCUUAUUUUUAUAACAAUGUAACCAAAUUUAAACAAUUUAAAUGUUAAUAAUAUACAUUAAUUUAUUUAUAUAAUACGAUAAUAACAAAUGCAGAUUGUUCAAAUAAUAACUUGUUAACAAAAAAAAGUGCAUUUAUUAGAGGGCUUAACUCGUGUAGGAAUAAUUCCUCUUAACACCCUCUAAUAAAAUCCCACAUUUUAGGAGGAACUUCCAAAUGCCAUAUCUUUCCUAAUGAUCCCCCUGUAAACGUUCCCCCCCUCUCCCUAGCCAUUUCAACGCUACAUAGUAACUCGAUCUAACCCGAUACUCUCCCCUCCUAUCAAAGUGCCAAAUCAACUUAUCUUCUAGAUUAUUCACACCCAAAGGAAUAUUAAGAAUUGUCCUAAUGUCUCUUGCACUAAAUAACUCCACAAUUUCAUCAAAAUCCCAACCUCUCCUAUCAUUCGUUAUAAGAUCACACACUCUCAUAUCAAGUUCUAAAAAAUGAAUGACAUCCUCCACAUAAAAAGUAUCACUCUUGGGAAGUCAAGGAUCCUGUGUGACCAAAAUAUUCUCACCAUUCCCCACUCUCCACGUAACCCCUAACUUUAGCAUGUCCCUGACAAACAAGAUACUCCUCCAAGUAAAACUGAGAUUAUUCCCUAGUGAUGCAGAUAGAAAUCACCAUCCGGAAAAUAUUUAGCUUUGAGCGUACAAUAAAGAAGAGUAUUGGGUUCGGAUAAUAGUCUUCACCCUUACUUACCAAGCAUAGCAAUAUUAAAGCUAUACAAAUCUCUAAAACCCAUUCCCCCAUCCUUCUUGCUUUGACACAUCCUAUCGCAAGAAUACCAAUGGAUACCUUUAUUAUUCCCCCCUUUAGAACCCCACCAAUAAGAAUUCACAAUUUUUUGAAGAUCAUCACACAACGAUAAGGGAAGUAAGAACAUACUCAUACAAUAAGAUGGACAAGCUUGUGUGACAGACUUAAGUAAAAUCUCCCUACCUACUUUAGACAAGAGCUUAUUAGUCCAACAGUUAAUUCUACUCAAUAACUUGUCCUUUGAAAAAUUACAAAUAUGUUUCUUCCUUUUACUAAUUAGAGAAGGUAACCCCAAAUAUUUCUCCUCUCCUAAAGAAUUAUGAACUUCUAGGAUAUUGGACACAGACACUUUAACCAUACAUGAAACAUUAGGAUUAAACAUGAUCCUUGACUUCCUAAAAUUAACGGCUUGACCCGAAGCACUGUCAUAUUCAUCUAAAAUCUGCUUUACUCACCUACCCUCACUGUCUGAGGCCUUAAAAAAGAAAAACAAGUCAUCUACAAAUAAUAAAUGUGCCACCCUUGGACAUCUAACUCCAGCUCGACACCCAUGGAUCCAUCCUCUCUACUCAGCCUCCUUAAACAACGGGGAUAAACCUUCAGAACAAAUAAUAAAAAGGUAUGGUGAAAUAGGAUCUCCUUGUCUAAGACCCCUCUCUGGAAUAACAGGACCAACUACUUCCCCAUUACACAAGUAAGAGUACCACACAUUAGUCACACAUGCUGUCAUCCAAUCAAUCCAUUUGGUACUAAAACCCAAUCUACCCAUCAUAUCUUGCAGGAAAUUCCAAUUGACCCUAUCAUAGGCUUUAGUUAUAUCUAUUUUAAGAGUUGCCAUACCCGUACCUCCCCACGUUUCAUACUGUGAAGAAUUUCAAAGGCCACACCAAUAUUAUCCUGUAUUACUCUACCCAGCACAAAAGUAUAUUGGCUAUUCGAAAUAGUCAAUCUGAAGCAGAGCAAAUUUAGCAUUUAGUUUAUUGAAGAAGAAAAGGAAAAAUUAUAAAUAUUAAUCACGUGUAGAAUAGUUGUUUAAUCUAUCAAAAAGGAAAAAGAAAAACUAUUAAAAUAAAAAAUAUGUAGAAAAAAAAGAAAAAAAGAAACACUAUAAAAAUGGAUUAAAAAGAAAAUUUUAAAAUUAAUGGUAUAUAAAUUGGUCUUUUAAUUAACCAACAAGAAAAGCUAUUAAAAUAAAAAAUUAUGUAAAUAAAAUUUAAAAAGAAAAAGAAAAACUAUGAAAAAGGGAAAAGGAAAAGUAUAAAAUAACAGGGAGCAAAGAAAAAAAAUUAAUAAAAUUAUAUAUAAAUGGAAAAACAAAAAGUAUAAAAAGGGGAAAAAGCAGAAAUUGGAAAACUAAAAUAAUAAAAACCAGAAAAAAGAUCACAAUAAGUAGUUUCAAACAUUGGCUGACAAUAUAAACUCACAACAUUUUAGCCACUAUACCAAACUACACUACAUUUCCUUUCUACCACUAAAUUAUUUUAUAAAACAAUCCAGGGGCAUGGCCCCCUCCUCCCCUUCUCUCCACUCCCUCUGCUAUUGGUUGGGCAUAACUAUUUUGAAACUUAUAUAUAUUAGCACCACAAAUAUAAACAAAUAUUUAAAAUAAAAGAAAAAUGAUAUAAAACACAAGACAAGCCAAGAAUACUCUCAAGGAGAUCUCAAUUAAUAAAAAUUCAUUUUUAUUAAAUCUCAUAAAAUUAAAAAAUAUAUUGAAACAAACAAAUAAAAUUACAAUCUUGAUAUAGAUAUAGAAGAGUUUGUGAUAAAAUUAGAGGGCUUAGAGAAACUAAAUCCGUUGAUGAUGCAUAGAAGCUUCGAUGAAUAUGAAUUCAUUUAGGAUCUAUGGCAAGGUCAUGAUUCAAAGAUGGAUUGGAGAAAGAGGAAGAGAUGCCAAGGUUAAAGAGAGAGAAAGUGACUGAAUAAAUUGUGGACUUCAAAAACUGGCAUUUAAUGGUUGUGGGUUAAGCUUACCAAAGAUUAAGGCCUCGUUUGGUUCAAAUUCAUCUACUUUCCGAGGAGUUCACUUCCUAGAAAAUAAAGUUUCAAAGAAGUUACUUCUUGAAAAGUACAGUGUGAAUAUGUUUUGUUGAUAUAUUGAAUUCCCAAGAAAUAAAAUUGUGUUAAUGAAAUUUUACAUAUGAAAGGACAAUAAUACUCCUACCAUGAAUUUAAAUAUAAUAAUUGAAAUAAUUCAUUGAAAGCGCAAAAUGGAGAUUGUUAAAUUCUAAAGGUCAAGAAGUGUACUUCCUUAGGUUGAGGAGAGGAAGUAACUUCCUGUACGGACAAGAAGUUGAGCAAUUCAACUUUUCGAGAAGUUCUUUAUUUUUGGAAACCAAACAUAAUCAAAUGCAUCACUUUUCAGGAAGUUUAAGUUCCUGAUGUAACACCCUAUGCGAAUCUCACAUCGGCUAAACACAAGGUGUAAAUGAAACCCAUAAGAAUGGGCAAGUUUUAAACUAGCAAGAAGCCAUAAGGCAUGAGUUGGUUCGGCCAGAGUAAAUAGUAUCUUGCAAUGUUUAAGAUGGAUGUGAGUUGGUUUUAUCUUGGCAACUUGUAAAGAGGUUUUUUUGGCUAUUGUUGGUUGUAGCUCAAGAACAAACCCGUGCGGGCCUGAGUAAGUUCGGUCCAAAGCGGACUGUAUCUUGCUAGCUCAAACUUAUUCUAAAGCCUAGUCUUAACUCCAUAUUGGAGUGUUAAAUGCUAUAAUAUCUAAGUUUUAAAAUAGGAGUGCUUGGGAUACAUAAGUGCUAUAAUACCUAAGUUUUAAAAUGAGAGUGCUCGGGAUACAUAAGUAAAAAUAGAGUGAUUUCGCGAUAAGUUAAAAAAUUGAGAGUAUUUUGAUAGGUUUGUCCAUAUUUGAAGAUAAACUCAAAGUAGUAAUGUUUCUUUGAGAUUUUAUCAAUAUACAUUUCAUCUUUCUUCACAUUUCAAAUUUAAACAUUUUUCUCUUUAUUGUGUGGUCCAUUAAUAUUAUCAUUUUAUGGAGUAGCCAAUUCCCUUAACAAGAGGGCAACUAUUAAGGAUAGGCGAAUGAUAAGUUUCAAGAUUAUCAUUUUCCCCCCUAUCAGCAUAGAGUACUGUGUUUAUAAAGAUAAAACUUGCAUACGUCUGGUGUAUAGAUGGUCUUAUAUAUCAAACCAAUCAAAAAGUAGCAUUUUAAAAAAAUAUUACCGUUAUAUAUUUUUUUCCUGUACAUGAUCGUAAAUGGUUAAAUACUCUUAUUUUGAAUUAAAAUUCUAUAUGUGAUUAAUUUGAUGUACAAGUAAAUCUAUAUACUCGAUGUAGGUAAUUCUUUUCCGUAUUUAUAAAUUACCAUUGCAACAAUAUUUAUAGAUAAGUUUUCAUAUCCAUCAAUAUACUCACCUUUAUGUCCACCGCCUGCAUUACUCGUAUGUCAAUACAUUUUUUAAAAGAGUAGGCUUUUGCGGGGCUUCCCUUGUUAUUGAUUAAAUUUCACAUGAAAAGAAAUUAAAAAUUAAUAAAUAAUCUUUAUGUCUCACAUUAUAAAUCGUUUAAUAUUUUUACACGAAAAUUAAAAAACUAUGAGUAACUUUAUUCUAUCUAAUGUAAAUAAGAGUGAUAUUAAAAAAUUAUCAUUUAUUAUUCUUUAAAAUACUUAAAACGAUUUAUAUUUUGGGAUAUAAUGAUCACUCAAAAUGAUUUAUAUUUUGAAAUGGAGAGAGUAGUUAGUACUAGAAAUCAUUUUACCAAUCAAACCAUCAGCAUCAAACCUUUUAGUGUUUUGUUAAAUCAAAUGUAGUAAGGAAAAAAAAUAAUACGAUAACUUUAUUUGGUUCAAAUACUUGCCUUUUCUUGUUACAUUAUAUUGAAUGAACUUUAAGCAGAUAUAUGAAUAAUACAGGUAUUUGGCUUUCCAAUUCGUUGCUCUUUUCCUGAAAGAAGCCAAUUCUAAUUAAGGGUUGAUGGAAAUCCAAUUUUUUUGCCAUUUUAAAAUGAAAAAAAAAAUAAAACUAAAAAUUUUACAAAAUUUACAUAUAUUUUUAAAAUUUAUAAAUUUAUAAUUUUUGUAAAAAGUACAAUUUUAAAUUGAAAUAACAAAAUGAAAUUUAGUGGUUCUCUUUCUCUCCUGCAUGAUAAAAUGAUAUUGUUUUUUUUUUUUUUUUUUAAAAAAAAAAAAGAAAGUGAAUGCUAAAUUUAAGGCGGAACACAAAUAGAUGAUUCCAAAAGACACAAACACACUACCACUAUCUUUUCCGUGACCAAUAACAGACAGUCACGUAUUCAUGUGCCAAUCAGACGUAUGUCCUAAUCCAUCUUCUUCGCCUAUUUAAAGACAAAGGUCCUCUGUGUUCUGUGUUUAAAGAUGUCCCUUCGCUAAAUCAAAAGGCCGAGAUUUCGGCUCUAUAAAACUCGGAUAUUUCGCGACAUUUCGUUUCCUACGGUGUAAUGGCAAUGGCUGGCUAUGGGCUAUUGAAGAUCGAUGAAGGAGAGCUAAAGAGCAAUCGAAGAACAUCGCGUCUCGCUUCUCUUGAUGUCUUUCGCGGCAUCUCCAUUCUUGUGAGCUUUCUUUAGCUUUUCUUGUUUUCUUUUAAUUUAUGCCACGUUUUUGAUUGGUUGCUGAGAAAAUGCCAGAAAAUGAACCGCCGCAUGAAAAUAAUUCAAUGGAAAUUAAGCCAAAAAAAAAAAAAAAAAAGCUUCAUUUUCAGGUUUUAUUUCUCUUUGGCCUCUGUUUCCAUAUUUUUGUUAAUUUUAUGUUUUUGUUUUUUCUUUUAUUUAAAUAUUUUAAACAAACAUACAAAAAAGAACAGAGUUCAUCAUAUGAAAAAAAAAAAAAAAAUCUCAUUGAGUAUAAAUUUUUUUAAAAUAAUUUAAUAAUAUUUAUAUGAUGAGAUCCACUCCACCCUAUAUGAAAAUAAUCCACAUCAAUCUGAUCUGAAUAUGAAUUACUGGGUAUAAAAAUCAUAAAAUUUGAUUUUUAUUAUUUUUUUAUAAUAUUUUUGAAUAUAUAAUUUUUUACAAUUGUAUAAUAAUUAUAAAAACUAAAACAAUAAAUAUAUCCUAAAUUAAUUUAUUAGCGCUGUCCAACCACUUUUCAAAAUAGACUGAGUGCAGGAAUGUCCAACCGAAGCUUACCUUUCGUCCAAUCAACUUGUUAGUGGAUGAGAAAAGCAAACAUACGUUGCGUGCGUGCAUUUCGUAUAAUGCGCAAUGCAUAGCAUAAUUCGUUUGCUCUUUACGCAAUCUUUCUGACGUCAAAGUAACCUUCAGUUUUUGCAAACUGUCCGAAAAAAGCAUAGAAAUGCUCAUGGAAAAAAAUAUUUAUAUAUCUCCUUUCAAAUUGAAGACUUUUAAAAAAAUUCCAUAAAAUUUUGAUAAAUACUAUGAAUUUUAAUAUUCUCAAUCUGAAACUUUUUAUAAAAAAAAGAGAGAGAAAAAUUUGAAAUGACUUUCUGCUUUUCAAAAAUAUUCUGAUGUAUAUAAAUAUUUUGUUUUAUUAUUCAAACGAUAAUCUAUAUUUAAAUACAGCAAAUGAUUUCAGUAAAUUUAAAAUUUAAUCUAUAGAAGAACAUUUAUAAAAAAGAAAAAAAAGAAAAGUACAGGUUUUCAAAUGGCCCAACUCACACAUUAAUGGACUAAAUUUGAGAAACUGCACUUUGUACUUCAUAAUUUAUUUAUAGGCCCACCAACAGACCCCCAUACUUUAAUGCACACGUACGGUCUUAAUUGUUUCUCGGAAGUUACUUCAAUUAAUGAAUCGAAUAACAAUUCAAUAAAAUAUAAAAUAAUAUUAUUAUUAUGAAUAACAAGUCAAUAAAAAUAAGACACUUGUCAAAAGUGAUAUAUAAAUAAGAUUUAAUUAAUUCAUUAUUUCCAUCUCUAUUUCAUUUUAUUUUCAGUUUGCAUUAUUAUAUAUGAUAAGUGUCUUAUUUUUUAAAAAUUGUCGUUCCAACAUAUAAUGGUGACAUGGCAUCGGUGUUUUAUUAUAUAAUCAUUCAGAUCAUCAUCCUUAAAUUAUUUGAUCAUUUCAUAAAAAUUAUUAUUUUAUUAAUCAGUAAGUAUUAAUAAAAAGGUAAAAAUAUCCCUUAUUUUUUUAAAACAAUAUCCUUUAAAAUACUAUCUAAUCAUUCAUAUUUAAUAAUGUGAUCAUAUUAAUUUAACAAUAAAGGCAUGCGUUUUGGAUUGAGUUGUGGUUGAUUUAGUGAAUUUUUAAUUUAGGAACCAACCAAAGAAAGAGUUUAAUAAUUAAGAGAAAUUUCAAUCAUUAAAUAACAGUUCUCUAAGAAAAGUAUUCAUCUUAGUUGGUUUUUAGGAGUGUCAAAAUGGGUUUGCAGAUAGAUUUCGACAUAAACUCAUCUACCAUGCGACAUGAUUAGAAUCAACAUAAACACGAUCUGUUUAAUAAUUAUGCAAAAUUUUUAAAUAUAAACACAAAAUGCAAAUUAAAUGAAUGACACGAAUAUGACAUUUAUAAUCUGUUUAAUUAAAUAGAUCAUAUAUGAAUCCAAAAAUUCAACCAAACUUAAUUAAAUGAGUCAAAUACGGGUUAGAACAUAACACGUAUGCAUAUACAAUAUACUUAAUAUAUAUAUUAUAUAUAUUUUAAAUGGAUUAUACAUAUCGUGUUAUCACUCGUAUACGAGUGACUCAUAUAUAUAUAUAUUUGAGUCACUCGUAUACGGGUGAUAACACGAUAUGUAUAAUUCACUUAAAAUAUAUAUAAAUCACUUAUAUACAGAUCAAAACAUGACAUGUAUACAUGUAUAAUUCACUUAAUAUAUAUAUUUAUCGUAUUAUAUAUAAAUCACUAGUGUAUGCACGAAUUUAUUUGGGCUCAACUUUAUCGUGAUUAAUUUCUCUGUUAGGCAAAUCUAAUUUAUGCGUGUGAUAGCUGAUUUUAACAUCUCUACUUUUUAGAUUGCUUCAAUCAAUCAAAACCACAUAAUAUUUCCGUUUGAUUUUAUCGGAAGCAGGUUGGCAAGUGGACCCACAUAAUGUGUGGUGGUGGUCCAUAUGCUCUAAACGCUGGAUGGGACUUGGCUAUAACUGGUGUUAAUUUCUUGAUAUCUUUAAAAAAGAUUCCACGAUUGUUCUUAUACCCAGUGGCAAACAACAGUUACAUUACUCCUGCUGAACCCAAAACCUUACUACACUUCGUAUCUUACUAAAACAAAUUCUCUUUUGACCGCUUUAAAACGGACAGCACGCUCAGUACACACAGUCAAAAGGGCUACCCGCCACCCAGCCCUUUCCUUCCUUCGUCUUCUUCUCUGCAAAAGAAAAAACGCCAAACUUAUAAUAAUCAAAGCUACAAUAUUAAUCUUCCCUUAUACUUAUUCUCUUUCUUUCUUGUUUCUCAUUCUUUUCUCUCUCCUUAUAAAAUGGCUGACUUAGAAGUGCCUUUGCUGCUGCUGCAAUCGCCGCUCUCCGAUAACAAGCCCACGCGUGUUGCUUCUCUCGACGUCUUUCGCGGCCUCUGCGUCUUUGUAACUCUCCCUACUUACCUUUCGCUUUCUCGUCUUCGUUCUUCAGAUUCUCGUCCGAAUUACGUUUUACGGUUUCUUCUUCCUCAAUUUUCAACGUUUUUAUUAUUAUUAUAAGCAUUAUUUUAGUGCCUGAGCUGUUUGGUUUAAAUUUUAGGACUGUUUGGUUUAAAUUUUAGGAAAGAAAAGUUAGUUUUAACAAAAUUUCUAGCGUAACUUGUUUGUCUCAGAACCGAAAAAGUUGUUUAUGUUUGUUAUCAAUUUGGUGGCUACAGCUAAUGAUGAUUGUGGAUUAUCUGGGAUCGAUUUUUCCGAUCAUUGCUCAUUCUCCAUGGAAUGGCCUUCGCUUGGCGGAUUUUGUGAUGCCUUUCUUUCUUUUCAUAGCCGGAGUUUCUCUUGCACUUGUUUAUAAGGUAAGUAUACUACUAUAAUUAUUAUUACUUCAAAAGAAAUGCAUGUUUGCUUUAAUUAGGGAUUUUUAUAUUCUAAUUCUGUUUUAUGAAUAGAAAAUUGUUGAUUUUGACAAUUCAACGCAUUUUGUUAAUUAUCACUUCUGAUUCACUUGCUAAUUUUAUUUGGUUAAUAUUGGCUUUUAAUCUGAAAGUUCUGUUUUUAUCAGAAAGUAUCAGACAGAGUAGAUGCUACAUGGAAGGCAGUACUUAAGGCAGCAAAAUUGUUUUUCUUGGGUGUUUUUCUUCAAGGUGACACUGUCAGACAAUUGAAUUAUUGUUGUGGAUUUUAUAGCAGUAUAUAUCUAUAAUACUAUCGGGACAUACAUUUAAUUAGCAUACAUUUGUUAAAUUGUUCAUUUUUUUUCAGGUGGUUAUUUUCAUGGGAUAAAUUCAUUGGCUUAUGGUGUUGACAUCGAAAGAAUACGUUGGCUUGGCAUUCUGCAGGUACUCAAAAAUUUCUUUCUCCAUGUAUUAAUAUUUCCUUCCUCAAUACCCUUAUGCCAUGUUCGGAAAAUUAACUGUUUAUCUAUCCUAAUAGCUAUACUAAAGUAAUAUUGUUUCAUAAUACAUUCACUCAAACUCUAAGGUCAUCGAAUAGUAUUUCAAUAUUUAUUAAAACGCUAAAAGCUACAUAAAAAGUUAUCGUUGAACGGCCCUUACACCACAUGUCUAAAUUUUCACGAGUACAGAUUAAGUGAUUGUCAUUAAAGUAGGAUUAAAAGUUUCCUUCUUAAUUACAUAAACCGUAGUCCAGUGUCAUUGUUCAUUUACGUUAGUCCUAUACAUUGUUAAACUUGUUUUUGUUGUCAUUCAAGCCAGAGAAUAUCUAUUGGCUACAUUGUUGCGGCUUUAUGUGAGAUUUGGCUUUCAUCUCGACCGAUAAGAGAAAUAGGUUUCUUCAAGCCUUAUUAUUGGCAUUGGUAAGGUUUUGAUAUCUUGCAUUGGCCUUUAUAUUAUUAAACUUCAAGCAUAAUUGACAUCGUAAAAGUGUUAUGUUUAACAAUUGUAAUGUGACUUCAAUUCUUGAUUCUAUUUCACGAAAUGGCUUAAGUAACAAUACUCAUUUAUUUUCCCUCUCUCACUUGGGCCUAAUAAGCAGGAUUUUUAAUAAAUAUUUGCCUGAUUAACACACCAUUAACUCAGAUCCUUGAACAUGUAAUACAUAGAUCAACAUUCAAUUGAUAUCUUAAAAUACUAAUCAGAUGGUGAGUAUGAGCUUAAUGGAUUGAAUUGCAAUUUUUUUUUUUUUUUAAUUUUUUGGCUUUCUUUUCUCAAUUUAUUGAUGAAGCAAAAUUUUCAGGGUUUUGGCAUUUUCAUUGUGUGCAAUUUAUACGGGAUUAUUACACGGUCUCUACGUUCCAGAUUGGCAAUUUGAAAUCUCCAAUUCAACUUCUUCUGUUCUUCCAAACAAUGGCAGUUAUGUUUACUUGGUGAGAGUUUACUGAAACCUUUUUCUUUUGCUAUUAUUAUUAUUUUUUUUUUUUUUAUGCCUGUGAUUGUGUGCAUGUAUGUGAGGGUGCAUAUAGAAAUUAAAUUCAUGGAGAACAGAACCACUAGAGAAUGCUUGUCAUUAUCUAAAUUUUGUUUGCUACAAUUUUGACCAUGUUAUGAGCGCCUUGAAGCAUUUAUCUCUGGAACUAGAACUUCUAAUGUAGAUUUCUACUAGAAUUCGUCACCUUUCUAUGAAGAGCAAGUUAAUUUGCCAACACCAUAUUAUUUCAUCGUCCAAAUACUCGACUAAAACAUCAUUAGAGGAGAGAUGUGUUUUUGAAGUACAUUUUACAUACGUAAGUCAAUACAGUCAUUGCGCAUGCAUUUUCUGCUAGUAUUAUCCUUUCAAAAUGAAGUUAAAAUUUUUAUUGCUUGACGUUUGAAGUCAUGAAUUUGAAUACAUUCUUCAUAUUUUUCACAGGUGAGCUGCUCUGUAAGAGGCGAUCUUGGACCUGCUUGUAAUUCAGCUGGAAUGAUCGAUCGCUAUGUUCUUGGUAUUGAUCAUCUCUAUACAAAACCCGUCUAUAGAAAUCUGAAGGUAUUCUAUAUUGAUCUUUUUAUGGUGGUCUUUAUCCAUCCAUAUGCAAUGUAUUGAUCCCUAACAAAAAUCUCAACUUAUAGGAAUGCAAUAUGACAAAUGGCCAAGUUUCAGAGAAUUCACCUUCAUGGUGUCAUGCUCCUUAUGAUCCUGAAGGUCUAAUAAGGUAGUUGAAAUGCAUAUCAAUAAGCUACUUAUUCAAUUAAGUUGAUCAAUAGAAUCAUGAAGAGGCAAGUGACCUGUUUUUUUUCUGUUGAAUGGUAGUUGGCAAACGUUUUUUGAAGUUCAACAAGCCAAGUGGAAGAUUUAGGAGAGUCAAAGUUGAGAUAUUAUCGAAUAAUAUAUAAUAUGAAUCAAACGUACAUAGACAGAUUAUCAAAAUCGAAGUCUAGAAAGUAGGAGGAUGUCAAAAGAUGAUAAUUUUCUACUAAACAUAAUUACACAUCAAUAUGAGUCGCAUACUAUUCAGUCUUAUUUUUGACAAUUAGGUAACGCGCUAAAAUUUAUUGUGCCUACAGUUCCUUGACGGCUGCAGUUACCUGCAUUAUUGGACUUCAAUUCGGCCAUGUCCUUGCUCACGUAAAGGUGAUAUCAUAUGCAUUCUUUACUCUCCCCGUGAAUUUUCUUUUCUUAUCUUUUUCACCUGUAGUUAUUUAUGGUCACUGUCGUAUAGGAGAUUUAUAAUGAUGUGCAAAAGCAUUCUGCUUUGAGCUACAUGCUACUGCUAUUUCACGUACUAUAGAACAAUCACCAUUUUGGUAAUUGCUUGUCAAGCUUAUUGACGUUACUUGUUACACAUGCUUUUCAGGACCACAAAGGGCGGGUGGAAUGUUGGUCUUUCUUCUCAUUUUCACUUCUUCUACUUGGAUCAUCCCUCGCCUUCGUAGGUAUGCUCGUCAACAGCGCAUAACUUUUGCCUUCAAUAAGUACCUAUCGACACAUUUUUGUUAUGAAGAUAGAUAACACUUGUUGCUAUAGAAAACAUUCCAUCCUCAAAAGUAAAGCAAGGUGCUCUACUAAUAAGAACAAAUUGAUCUCCCCCAAUUUGUUCAUUUUAGCAAUCAAUUUUAGGUUCUUAGUAAAUACAUAUUGAAAGCAAAUCUUUGAUCUUCCCCUUUUGUUUUGCAGGCAUCCCCGUGAAUAAAUCUCUCUAUACAAUUAGUUAUAUGCUUAUUACUUCUGCUUUGGCAGGAAUCACAUUCUCAGUUUUGUACUUGGUGGUGAGUCAAUUCUACCUACUAUUGGAAGCAAAGCAUAAUCUUUAGCAGCUUCUUAGAUUUUCCAAGAAAUAUAUACUUGUCAGAUUUGACUUAAAAAUCUAAUUUGGUUGCUCUUGCAAAGAAGCCAACUGAAGCAUAAACCACGAGACCAUGAAAACCCUACUCUAUACUUACUGAAAAUUGAAGCAAAAGAUUAUUUUCAUCUUUCUUAACUCUGAAUCAUCACAACUUAAAAUCCCUCAAACCAAAUAUACUCCUCGUUCCUACUAUUUGACAUUUUUAUCUCUUUUUCUUACUGUUUAUAUACUGCCUGCUGUAGGUAGAUGUAUAUGGUUACAGAUGGGUGUCAUUACCGUUGGAGUGGAUGGGAAGGCAUUCCUUGAGUAUCUUUGUCCUUCUAACAUCUAACUUAAUUAUUAUUGCAAUUCAAGGAUUCUACUGGUCUAAGCCUGAAAACAACAUAGUGAGUGUUUAGAAGAUCUACUGCUUUUUAUUCACUUGCUACUAAUAUGUAAAUCCAAAGACAGCUAACACCACAUUUUUUUUCUUGUUGCCUCACUUUUUUAACAGAUUCACCAGAUUGUCGCAUCCUUCGUGCACAGAUGAUACAUAUGGUCAUUGGGUCGAAUUACAUGGUUAGAGAUUUUGAAUCUUGCUUUUAAGAUAGGGUAAAACACUGAAUUCUCUAGCCAAUCUCUCUUUUCAGACCACAUUUUAUAAUAGUGUUUUGGGAAAUCAAGGACAUAUUAUUAGUACCUAGUGAAUCUUUUUACUUUUCCCCCUCUAUAUACAAAAUGAAAGUGAUAUAUAUAAAAAUGUAUAAGCUUUAGACUAGCAAGAGCCAUUGACUGAGUACGAGGGAAAGUGAUAUUUAUAAAAAUGGGUAAGCCCUUAGACCAGCAAAGAGGUCUUUUGAGGGUGAUGGAUCAUCCAUUACCCUCGAGAACAAAACUGUGCAGACUGGAUCCAAAGCGGACAAUAUCUUGCUAGGCCUAAAAUGCCAUAUAUAAUGAGUAAAAUCACUUAACUUCUAAUAAAAUGAUUAAAUAGUUGAUGUUUUCAUACUAUAGAAACUAAAUAAUUUCUUCCAAAAAUAGAAUAACUUACGGGAUAAUGGUAAUAUUUACCCCUCUACUUACCUCUACUUACGGGAUAAUGGUAAUAUUCAGGUUUACAGAUUCAAGUGGCAGGACAAAUUCAAGCUUGAGUUAAUGUUCAAAUUAACACUCUCCUGAGGCCACUAAGAGGUUCAGCGAACACAAGGUCGCGAAGCAAUCCAAAUUCCGCAAUUGUCCAGUGUUUUUGCAUGAAAUGCGGCUCUCAGCUGUCAAGGCUUGUGCCUUGUUCUUGACAAGAGUUAUAACAUGCUCUAGACAAUAUUGUAGUCUUAUUCAAUUUUAAAUCAAUCAAGGGAAGCAAUGAAACAAUUUUAUGCAAAUUAUAUUACACUUUCCAAUUUAUGACUUGGUCUGAGGCAGAUAUUGAAUCAUGCCAAUAAAAAAAAAAUUUAAAAAAAAAAAAAAAAAAAAAAAAAAAAAAAAAAAAAAUACUGCCUGCUGUAGGUAGAUGUAUAUGGUUACAGAUGGGUGUCAUUACCGUUGGAGUGGAUGGGAAGGCAUUCCUUGAGUAUCUUUGUCCUUCUAACAUCUAACUUAAUUAUUAUUGCAAUUCAAGGAUUCUACUGGUCUAAGCCUGAAAACAACAUAGUGAGUGUUUAGAAGAUCUACUGCUUUUUAUUCACUUGCUACUAAUAUGUAAAUCCAAAGACAGCUAACACCACAUUUUUUUUCUUGUUGCCUCACUUUUUUAACAGAUUCACCAGAUUGUCGCAUCCUUCGUGCACAGAUGAUACAUAUGGUCAUUGGGUCGAAUUACAUGGUUAGAGAUUUUGAAUCUUGCUUUUAAGAUAGGGUAAAACACUGAAUUCUCUAGCCAAUCUCUCUUUUCAGACCACAUUUUAUAAUAGUGUUUUGGGAAAUCAAGGACAUAUUAUUAGUACCUAGUGAAUCUUUUUACUUUUCCCCCUCUAUAUACAAAAUGAAAGUGAUAUAUAUAAAAAUGUAUAAGCUUUAGACUAGCAAGAGCCAUUGACUGAGUACGAGGGAAAGUGAUAUUUAUAAAAAUGGGUAAGCCCUUAGACCAGCAAAGAGGUCUUUUGAGGGUGAUGGAUCAUCCAUUACCCUCGAGAACAAAACUGUGCAGACUGGAUCCAAAGCGGACAAUAUCUUGCUAGGCCUAAAAUGCCAUAUAUAAUGAGUAAAAUCACUUAACUUCUAAUAAAAUGAUUAAAUAGUUGAUGUUUUCAUACUAUAGAAACUAAAUAAUUUCUUCCAAAAAUAGAAUAACUUACGGGAUAAUGGUAAUAUUUACCCCUCUACUUACCUCUACUUACGGGAUAAUGGUAAUAUUCAGGUUUACAGAUUCAAGUGGCAGGACAAAUUCAAGCUUGAGUUAAUGUUCAAAUUAACACUCUCCUGAGGCCACUAAGAGGUUCAGCGAACACAAGGUCGCGAAGCAAUCCAAAUUCCGCAAUUGUCCAGUGUUUUUGCAUGAAAUGCGGCUCUCAGCUGUCAAGGCUUGUGCCUUGUUCUUGACAAGAGUUAUAACAUGCUCUAGACAAUAUUGUAGUCUUAUUCAAUUUUAAAUCAAUCAAGGGAAGCAAUGAAACAAUUUUAUGCAAAUUAUAUUACACUUUCCAAUUUAUGACUUGGUCUGAGGCAGAUAUUGAAUCAUGCCAAUAAAAAAAAAAUUAAAAAAAAAAAAAAAAAAAAAAAAAAAAAAAAAAAAAACACUAGAAAAGCUCUAAUAUUCGAGAAUCUCAUCGUAAAGCAAUAGUAUGAUUUACACAUUCACCCAAUACUCAGGGUUGUUAAAAUUGUGAACAUAUUUAAAUAAAUAUGAAUUUGGAUUGUAAUUAUAUCUAUUUUUAAGUGUAAUCCUUAACAUAUUUUAAAAACAAGGUGAUGUAAUUUACAUAACAUACCAGGAUCAUUAAUGUUUAAUAAUAAUUUGUUUCUCUAAUCCUCAAAUAGGACAUACCUCGGAAGCACAAGCAAUGCAAGGUACCAAAGAUGUCAAAACCAACUUGAAAUCCUGUGUGGUUUCAAAUGUUCGCAAUUCAUCAAUCAACGAGCUGCUACUUCAGUUGAUAGGAACUGCUUCCUAUCAAUAAAGAUUUAUGUUUGUUUAGAACUGAAACUCUCCUUUUCAAAUAACUCUUAACGAUAGAAAAGAUACCAACUCAAAUUUUAAGUUACCUUCGUGCAAGAAUUUCUCUGUUGAUCAAAUAAUGAGAGGCCUUAUCCAACACUGGGCAGAGACUUGACUACAAGUAACAUCAAUAGCAAUCUUGCAGUUUCCAGCUACAAAUUCAACUUGAGAUAUAAAAAGAUGCAGAUGCAUUAUAUUCUCACUUCCCAGGGAGGUCACUCCACAUCUGCCUAGCAAAGCAGCUCAUCUGUGCUAGUUGCUCACGAUUGGCUUGUAAAAUGCACCAUAUGCUACAAUCACAACAAACUUCUCUGUGCGGCUUGGGAUAGAUCAUAGUAAGUUUCUGUGUGAACGCUUCAACCUAAUAUGAAGGACAAAGAAAUCAAAAUGCAAACAUUAGAAAAUAUGCUUAAAAAACAAGUGAACAAUAGAUAUGAAGAAAACUCAAAUCCCAAGUCUCCAACGAAAUGAUUUUGUGAACUCAGACUAAACUUUCUUCAUAUCUAACAACAUAUUAGAUAUGAAGAAAGUUUAGUGAGUUGUAAUUUCCUGGCACUCUAUGUGAUUCUCCAAUCCAUUGUCUCUAGUUAACUGUGUCAUUUCGAACUAAUCCACCACUUUGUAAAGCUUGUUGAUAAAGUUCAUGCAACUUAAUUGAUGUAUUGAUCAGCAUAGCCAUUAUCGUCCCAAGCAUACUAAUUCAGGUAUUUAACCAAUCCUACCAAAGAACUAACAUAAUUGAUGAGAAACCCAAUUACGAAAAUGAUUAUGCAAUAUCAUUCAUGCAAUCUUUACUAUUUCAAUAUUGAUAACCAAUAAAUAUUCCUCCAUUUAAAUUGAAAAUUAAAUUAAAUGAUAAAAUAAGGGCAAAAUCAAGGAGUUCACAUGCAGCACUUGAUGUUGAGAUCGUGUUUUGGGGAGUUUGAGCUAAAGAUUGAUAAGGACAGAGACAAGACCUACAUACCGCCGCAUAAUCAUCAACACUAGGAGGAAUCUACCCAGCUAACUGCUGCUUCUUUCUUGAUAUUAUUCCUUUCCAUUAUUACUCUUAUUUCUGAUGCAUUUUCCCAUUGUCCCAUAUCGGCAUACAUGUUGUAUAACAAGACAUAUGGAACUGAGCUAUCUGGUUCGAGUUUCAUUAAUGCUUCAGCAGCAAUACGGGCAAUCUCUGCAUUGUUAUGGACCCUAGAAGCACCCAAUAAUGCACCCCAAACAGCCUUAUCUGGCUUAAAUGGCAUGCCAUUGAUCAAAUCCAAGGCCUCUUCAAGCUGUCCAUGCCGACCCACAAUGUCAACUAGGGAAGAGAAGUGUUCAAUCCUUGGCUCGAUGCCAUAUUCACUAACCAUGGAUUUAAAUAUCCCUCGACCUUCUUCAACCAGUCCAGCAUAAGCACAGGCAUUCAGAGCAGAAAUAAAUGUUAUAUAAGUAGGCUGCACUUUGGAAAUUCUCAUUAAUUUGAAAAGUUCCAAGGCCUCUGCAGCAUAACCAUGGGAUGCAUAUCCUCCAAUCAUUGCAUUCCAAGAAAUUACUUCUUUAUGCGGUUUCAUUUCAUCAAAAAUGGUCCAUGCCUCAAUUAUUGCCCCACAUCUUGAGUACAUCGUGAUGAGGGCAUUAUUCAAUGGCACAUCUGGGAUAACUGUCUUUCUGACCAGCUGAUGAAUCUGCAUACCCAAGUGCAGAUCCACAAUUCCAGAAGAUGCACUGAGAAGCGAAGAUAAUGUGUGUCGGUCAGGUUUCUCUCCUUCAACUUGCAUCCGAAAGAAGACCUUAAUUGCUCCUUUAUAAUCCUCCUUCUUCUCAUGCCCCGCAAUCAUGGAAUUCCACGACACCAAAUUCUUCUGGGGCAUCCUCUCAAAAAACUCAUGAGCAAGUUCCAAAUUACCUACCAGGGCAUGUCCUGAUAUCAUUGAAUUCCAUGAAAAGGAAUCAGGAUUUGGCAUUUUGCAAAAGAGGUUUGACGCCUCCUCCAUAUCUGAGACAUGAACAUAUCCACUAAUGAUGGUAUUCCAUGAAAAAGUGUCUAGUACAAUCAUUUGGUCAAAGAGUUCCCUAGCAGAAACAAUAUCUCCAGCCUUCACAUAGCACAUUAUCAUGGUAUUCCAUGACACCACAUUUCUCUCAAACCUCCCUUUACUUCCUUUUUGUUUGUCAUUAUUACUUGGCAUCUUAUCAAAAAGUUUCCGAGCUUCAUCCACCCUUCCUCUUUGACCAUAUCCCGCAAUCAAAGUAUUAUAAGCAUGCACCAACUCCUCUUUCCCACUAUUAUUAUUUCCAUAGUCAAGCAAAAUUUUUGCAGCUUCCUCAAGCUUCUCAUUAUGAAUAAGACCCGAUACAAGUGCACUCAACGAUGUUGAAUCCCUCUCUGGCAUUCUCUCAAAAAACUCAAUUGCACGCGCCACAUCACCAUUUUGCAAAAAACCAGAAACUAUAGCAUUCCAAGAAACAGCAUUUGGCUUAGGCAUUGUAUUAAAAAGCUGCAGAGCCUCCUCUAUUCUCCCAUUCCUUGCAUACCCACUAAUCAUUGUGUUCCAAGAAACGCAGUCCCUCUUUGGCAUUUUAUCAAACAAGCACCUUCCCUCCUCUAUAAACCUCUUCCCACGACAUGACACAUACCCCGAAAUCAUCAAAUUCCACGACACAACAUCCCUCUUUGGCAUUUCAUCAAAAAGCUUUCUUGCUUUAGUCAUCUCACCCUGUCUCGCAUACCCACUGAUCAUUGAGUUCCAUGAGAUGGUGUUUCUUUGCUCCAUUUUAUCAAACAAUGCCCUUGCAUCAUUAAUCUGACCUGUCUGGUUGAAACGCGUGAUUUUUUUAUUCAGGGAAAACAAGUCUCUGUCGCAAUCAUUAAAUGAACUCUUUGAUUUUGGAGCCGAUGCAAAACAGCUAGCUUCUAUGCUGAUGUAUGGCUUCCGUCUAGUCUGAAGCUUCCAUUUGCAUGAUGCGCCAAGGGCAAUUCUCAACCUGAGCAUAAUUUACAGAACAAGUUUACUGAACCUCUAAGAUUCAUUCAGCAACUGAUGAAUUAAACAAUCAAACUUUUUAUCAGAAAGUUAUUCAUUUUCUUAAUAUAUUUAGUUUUGCUCAGGUCACAUCACACGCUUGUCACACUCUUAACUUCUGAAACCAACAAAAAGAAUUAGGCGGUUUCAAAAAACGGUCAUCUAAUGGAACCUGCCAUAUUUGUCAAGCUAACUAAGAGUUUUCUUCACCUGUUCAACCUAUAAAAAUUUUUAAAACAAUUAUAAUCUACUAAAAAAAUAUUUUUUUUUUUAUAAAACUAAUAAUUGGCUAUAAAUAAAGGACAAUAUAAUUACCAAACCAGAAAUUACUAAUGCCACAGCUAGAUAUGUUAUUGACUUUUGAUUUGACAAUACUAUCUUAUAUGUAAGACGAUACUAUCCUUAUAUGUAAUAUUCUAAAUUUAUCAUUUUAUACUCUUAAAACUAUUCUUAUUAACUUCAAAUCUAUUCAUCUAUUUUUAUAUCAAUUCCAUACACAAUUUUUUCAUAUAGCCGACCCCCACUAGUUUGGACCUAAGGCUUGGUGGUGGUGGUUGUUUUUCCAUAUACAAUUUUUUCAAGAGAGAAAUAUUAACUUUGACAAACAUAUAAUAGCUAAACCUAAUACUUGUUUCAUCCUAUUAAUUAAUAAUGAAAAUUCGAAAAUCAGGACAACAAAAUUUAAAUGCAGAAAUAAAUAAAUAAAUAAAUAAAAUGAAAUUCUCAAGAAUACAUAUCAAACUAAAAAAUUUAAUUGUCUUCUUUAAUAAAAUAAUAAAAAAUGAACAUUAUUUUUCCCCAUUAAAUUUAUUCUUCUAAAUCCCUGAAAAUGUUAUUUUCCAGUUAACUCUGGUACCUGUUUAUAAAAUUAAAAAACAUUUCACAUGAACUAUAUAUUUUAGCUGCUUUUAAAAAUUUCACAUGACUAUACCAAAAUUUCCCUAAUCUCAGUUCCUUUGCAACCAAAACAUUUUUCCAUUCCUAUGGUUUGUUUAUUAACUGAACUAGCCAGUAUCUUACUGGUAGAUAAUUUGAUUUGGUAUAAUUUACUCAAAAAUCAAGUUGAAAAAAAAAAGCAGAACAUAUAUCCUCUCUUAUAAAAUGCUUACCGUGAGGAAAAUGAUAAAAUUACAGUCACGCAAAGAAGGCAAUACCAAAUAUGGAUUUUCUUUCUUUUCUUGCAUGUUCCCAAACAACUAAAGUGAUCUCUAGCCAUAUUUUCUCAGCCACCAAAAAAUUAGAAAAUAUAAUUACAGAAUUCUUAAUAUGCAAUUCGCAAAGUAAAACAAAUUAAAGAAGAGCUAAAAAAUGAAAAAGAAGGAUUGCUCACAUAGAUGUUGACAGUGAACUAAGUCGCUGCAGGACUGCACCUGCCAACAUAUUGAAUGGUGGUCAAAGACCGCUUUUGCUUCCUCCCAUUUUGAUUACUGCACAAAAAAUACCGGCAUAAAGGCUGUCAAGUAAAAGAGAUUCUCUAGAUUUCUGUCUCAGAUUCUAUAUCAAACAUGAAAAUAGAAAUUUGAGGCAAACGACAAUCAAUUUAUCUAAGAAAAGAUGAGUAAACAAAAAGUUAAAGUGAAAUGUGUCCAAUAAUGAACCUGAAUUCACAAAAUCAAAAAUAAUUGUUGCCUUCUUCCCUUCUAACUCUUCAAAAUUUCAGCUCUUUCAUUCAAAAUCUUCCCAAUCUCUUGCUAAUUCUGGAUAUUCAUGGAGUCUGGAAUCAAACGGUUAACAGAGAGGGUAGUUUCAUUUUUAUUUCAUCAAAAUUUGAUGAAAUGGAACAAAACUUGGGAUUUGGUUUGGGAAAUCACAAGGAAGUGUUGAAUUGAGAAGAAAAUAUUUAGAACUUUGAGAAGAGGACUUGGGUUGGUUUUUUGCUUAGUGACAUAAACAGGUUAGGAGGAAUGUGGCCUUUUUUUCACUCUUUUUUUGAAUGAAUUUCAAUGUUUAAGAGUAAAAGGUCAUAAAAAAAUUUAAUAAUAGUUGGACUUGUGCGGAGCUCGCCCGCAUGCAAGGUCCAACUUUAAAUAAAUAAUUAGUCAUUUAUCAGCAUAUUGUGGAUGGCAACGGGUCAGGUACACAAAAAGUGUCGUAUCCCAAUCCAAACUCACUUAAAUAUAAGGUACCUGAAUCCAUUUAAAAAAUUACCCCUGCAUUACCCAUAUUCGUCCCAAAUUGAAUUAGCAUUACCCAUUUGCAAUCCGGAUUCAUAGAAACAACCGUUUAACACAAAAUGAACAAAAUGCAUACAACACACAAUACACUAAACUGUAUAAACACUUGAUUAUUAUCGAACCCUUAUAAAAUAAAGAAAAUAGCAUGCUGUUAUUUUUACCACUCCAAUUGUCAGAAAUUGUAUGUAAUUACAUAGUUUUUACAAUUCAAAGAAACUUCAAGAAUCUACUAACUUAAUUAUAUAAUGGAGAGCAAGAAUGAAUACAUUUAAACUCCAGGUCUACGAAUAUGUGGCCUGUAAGUAUUUGGUCAAUAUAGUUUCUUGAAUCCCUGGACAAAAGAGACAGCUUAUUUGAUGAAAGUAAAAAUUAUUUAACUGCUGAAAAAGAAGAAUGCAUAAUGCAAUAAUGCAAUGUAUAGAGAAUGUAUAAUACAGUGUUGAUAUAUGGUUGUUAUUAGUUGUGUUUUCCAAUGCUUAUUUGUAGCAGUUCAUAUUAGUGAAGGUCUCACUGAUUACCUAAAUAAACCAAAUGAAAUAUAGGCAAUUUGAAUUAAUUAGUAAUCUUUAUUUCCUUGUGUAUGAGCUAAUGGAAAAUUUCUACAAAGGAGAGAGGGAGAAUAUGAAGAAUCAAUGUUAGAUUGUUGUUCCAGGAUUAGAUUUCAUUCCCAUCUGAACUUUGGCAGUCUUACAAAUCAGUUUCUAAUUUUGUGAAACUUAUGAAAAUUGUUCUGCAUGCCUACUGUAUAAAGUUUAUGCAUCUUUUGUCAGUUCAACUAAAGAAAAUAACACAUGCUGAUUUUACUUUAAAUAUUAAAUAGUAGCAUUUUUACGGAAAAGCCUUACCCUACAACCUACUGAGGAUGAUUUUGAUCAGAAGAUACAUAUUUAUUGAUCAAUCGUUUAGGUUUUUCAAUGAAAUUUUUGAAAUGCAUUUAGAAUUAAAUGCUUAACAGAAUCAUUUAGAUCUUUAGAAGUUAAGGAUUUUAAUCAACUUGCUUCAAUUUCACUCAUUUAUGUAUAAUUUUCUUGGUGUCUUUGCAAUUACAGAUACCAUCCAACACUUAAGUACAAAGAAUUCUGUACACUGGGAUGAUUCUAUUGUCAUUAAACUUGUUUUGACCGGCAUUUUAAGGAACUGAUUUUUCUAAACAAGAUUUACAAUCAGCAACAAAGAUAAAAAGAAACAAAAGAAAAGAAAUAAAAACUGCAGAAACAGGACAAGACAAAACCAGCAAAAAGAACAAAAGGAAACCAAAAACCAAAAAGAACUAAAGCGGCAAAACCAAACCAAAGAAUAAAAUAAGGCCCAAAGCAGCAGUAACAGUUUAAAAAAAAAAAAAAAAAAAAAAGAAAAAAGAAAAAAAGAGCAUAAGAAACCAAUUAACUUAGUCUAUCAUAUCAACGGCUAUUUACAUUCACAAAAUCAAACCACAUACUCAAUUUACAGUAAAGUGAAGAAAACAAAAAACGAAAUUAUUGACAGAGCUUUAACUUUAACAGUAACAAAAAUACCUUGCGAUUUGCGAGCCACAGAGCUAGUCUUGAACGAGACACAGAGCUUGUCGGCGGAGAUCGCCGCUCUUGAGGCGCGCUCGUCACUCGUCGGAUAAAAGGCAACAGGCAAAUCGAAGAUGAGAGACUAAGGCAACAAGAGAAAAAAUCAGAUCGAGGCAAAACUACUGCCUCGCGAAGAACGAAUUGAACUUUGAUUUAAAAAGUUAAUUCAAAACGACGUGGUUUGGUUAAGGCAUUUUCUGUGUCAAAACUUCGUCGUUCUGGUAGUGAAGUGUUAGUUAUUUUCUUCCUUUCUUUUUCUGGCCUAAUACAGAGAGAUAAUUAAAAUUUUAUGUAAUUCAGUUAUAAAUUUAAUUUUUAUAUCUGAUAUGCAAAAACUAAAAAUUUAAAUUUUGUGAAUUUAAUUCUAUAAUAUAAUUAAAUUAAAUUUCAUAAAAAAGUGAAAUUUUAGAAUGAAUUUCAUAAAUUUAAACAAUAUAUUUUCGCAGAUAAUAGUAGAUAAGUUCUUGAUGGGCUUAAAUCUAUGUUUCUGUAUUUUACACAACCAGCAAUUGAACAGAAAAAAAAAACAUUCGACCAUAAAAUGACAAGCAUCUAUUCCAAUCAAAAUUAUUAGUGAUCCAAGUUAUCAAAUGGGCCUCAAAUAUACACAAAGCCCAAACACAACAGAUACACACUCAUCAUCCUUAUAUUUAUUCAUCAAGUGGGCCCAAGCCAGCAGGAGGCGGUUACCAAAUGUACAAAGUUAAAUAUAUAGAGUAGAUACAACAGCUGCUAGCAUCUGCUUCUUGAAUGUUUUCACUGUAUUGAACUAUUCUACAAUACAAUUUUUGUCUCCAUUAAUACACUGUUUCAGUUUUCUCUUUCUCUGGUGAAGAAUGCUUUGAUAAUCUCAUCAGUUAGCAAACCUCAAUAAUCUUUUUUGUUGUUAAAAUUUUGAUUAACAGCCUAGCCUGAUAUGGUGGUGACAAUUCUAAAUGAAAACAUAACCAAUAAUUAAAAAAAAAAAAAAAAGAAAUAAAAAUACCUAUGCUUUUAUUGUGUUUCAGCCAUUCAUUUUGUUAAGAUUUGAUGGGAGGUUUAAAUUGAUAUAAUCUUAAAUUCAUAUAUUGAAUUGAAAAAAUUACGAAAUCAAAUCGAAGAAAAAGUAAACUUUCUUUUUAUUUGAUGCAAAUUGAAUUGCUUAGCGUGACUAAUAAACUACAGGCCCAUUUUGGCCCAUUCUCCAAAUUUUGGGCCCUCAUACUGGGCCUAAACGCACUCGUACUUUUACCCAAUUCCUCUUUGGCAAAAACCCAUAACUAUAAAUUUCCAUCUAUCUCUGGUAGGAAAAAGAUAAAAUUCCAACUAGUCCAUGAGGUUCAGCCAACUGUACAGUUUCAUCCCAAUAUUUAAAAAUAAAAGGAAUUAAGGAGUCCCAAAAUUUAAUUCCAUUAAUGAAAUAAUAUUUUUAUUUCCAUAGACCUGGUUUAGGUAGGUCUAAACCUUAUUAUAAUUAAUAUUAAUUAACCAAUAGUCAAUAAAUAUUUUUUUGAAAAAUAUAAUUCAUUAACUAUAAUAUCAAACAUUACGAAUAAUCAUAUAGAUCAGACAAUGAAUUUUACUAUCAUAAGCUAAUAGAGUUCGUUGAUCUUUUAACAAGCUAAAAUAAUUAUAUAUAUUCUUUUGAAUGAUAAUACUAAAUAUAAGAAAAUAUAAUAUUAUAUCUUUCCACUUGAAGAUGAUCUUGAUAAAAGAUAUAAAUAUUCUUAUUACCAACUAGUUUUUUAAUUGAUUUGGAUAGUAAAAUAAUAAUUACUUUGGAUCUUUUAUAUCUGAAUUGUUUUUAGCUAAAUUGUUUUUUCAAGGACUUGUAAUAUAUAACAUACACAUAUGAAUUCUCGCCAACAUACAUCAAUAGUAUCAAUAGAGGAACAAGUCGCACUAUUAGACUUCGUUGAUCAAAGAUUCACAUUUACAAAUCAAUAUCAAAAGUUUCCAACCAAAUAAAAUCAAAUAUUAUACUUUUAUUUAUAAUAAACUCUCAUACAGAAGGAACAAAAAGCUCUAAAUACGGAAACAAAAUAACAAUAAUAAAAAUCAAAACAAAUAUAUUAUAUGAUAAAUAGAUAUGAAUUUAUUAAAAUGGCUAAGAGAAUUUAAAAGAGAAAAAGAGAAGAAGUUGAAUCAAAGGAAAAAAAUAGAAUGUAGGAGAUUAUCACUAAUCAACAUCAAGCGGCCACAAACUAAAUUUUUAAACAUUUUAUAAAUUUCAAUCAAUGACUUCGUUAUUUUAGGUGUCUCGUCAUGCCGAAGAGAUAAUAAAAAAUCAAAAUUCGAAAGACUCAAGAAAGAUCAUCUUUUCACCAUUCAUAUUUAAAUAUAAUAUAUAUAACGGCAGAGCUUCUUAUGGUCGAAAGGUCGCUGGGCAAUUCUAAGAAAUUUUUUUUAAAAGAAAAAUUCUUAUGAAAUAUUAUAUUUUGGUCUUUAAAAAUAUAAAAAAAUUAUAUUUUGAUACCCUAAAAGUUUUUAAAACUUCAUUUAGCUUGUUUAAAGUAAUUGUCUUAGUUCUGUGCUGAAUAUAUAUAUAUAUAUAUAUAUAUAUAUAUAUAUAUUAAAUAUUCUAUGUAUUAUCCCUAUCACAUUUGCAUUGAUAACCAGGACAAGAAGCUUGUAGCCAAAUGUUAGAGUACUGACAACUAAUUCCCACUGUGAAAUGUUUUAUUAGCCUCUGAUCAUCAAUGAUUAAGUGGCCCACUUGUUUUAAUUUGUCCAGAACUUAUGGAAUAAUUAAUCAAGUAUUAAUAAUUAUUUUUGGAAGCGAACAUUCUAGAUAUACCUUUUUUCUCUUGUUCAGCUACUGCAACAUUUUUGUUGGAGAAUCAAGAACUUAUGGCUUAAAAUAUUCGCAUAUACUAUAUUAAGUACUCCCAUCUUCAAAAUAGUUCAUUUUCUAUUUUUACACAGAUUAAAAAAAUAAUAAUUAUUAUGAGUUUUGACAAUUCUAUUCCUAUAACUUUUCUAUCAUACCAUUUUAAAUAACAUAUGAGCAAUUAUUAUAUUUAAAUAAUAAGUAAAAAUUAAUGAGGGUUAUUGAAAAUAAGAAAAAAUUUAAUAAGGGUAUAAUAGACAAUUUCAUGAUUAACUAUAAUACAAAAAAGAAAAAUAAACCAUAUUUUAGGACAAAUUAAAAAGAAAAGAUGAAAUAUUUUUUUGAGGCAGAUCUAUUAUUCUUCUCACAAUAAUGAUUUUAUAAGUACAGUUUUUUUUUUUCUUUAUACUCAAAUGAUAUGAGAAGCUAAUUUUAUAAAAAACGAAGAUUAAUUUGUCUUUGAAUUUGUUUAAUAGGAUAAAAAAUGUCAAGAUUUGAUCUUUUUAGAUCAAUUUAACAUCUAAACUUAUUUAAAAUAAUUAAAAAGAUCAGAUUUAAUAUUUUGGAUUAAUUUAGUCCCUGACUAUUCGCUGUAUUUAUAACGUGAGAAUUCUUAUAUAGACAUUUAUUAAAAUUAUAGUUGGAAUCACGUGGUAUAAUUUAUUGAAAAAUUUAAUUAAAUAUCAAAUUGAGGAAAUAAUAUAUGAAAUAUAUUAUAUCCCUCUUUAUCUUGAUCUAUCAUUUUAAAUUCAUAAAUAUGUACUAAUUUAAAUAUUUUAAAAUUGAACUUUACUACUAGAUUAUUGCAUAUGCAGUUCAUGCAUUUCUCAUGUUAAACGAAUUCAAAGUUACACUACAUAUUUUAUAAAUUUACUGUGUUAAAGAAAUAAUAUUUUCGUGAUUUUAAAAUUCUAUUCAGAAGUAUUGGAAAAGUUUGAUCUAGAUAUUCCUAUUAAAUUGAAUCAAUUUAUUAUUUUGUAAAAAUCAAAAUAAAUUUAGUGGCUGAAUUGAUUUAAAAAAAAUCAAAUCUGACUUUUAAAUCCCAUAAAUAAGUUCGUGAGCUAAAUUAGUCUUUAUUCCAUUUUAUAACCACAAAGUCGUGUUUAAAAUUUUAAACAAUAUGGUUCUUAUGUUGCCUGUAACGGUUUCGUAUGCUCUAGUAGCUUUCUCUCUUUUGUCCAAGGUUUCUUGUCCUGCCAACAUGGAGAGGGACUUUAAUCAUUUGUCAAUCGCUGAUGAUGAGGAAGAAGGCUUGCCUGUUAACGCAUCUUCAGAUGCCACCAAGUCUACCUACGAAUUUUGUCUUGUCGACAUGUUCUUGACUUGCGGGACUGUGAAUUUUUAGUCCAUGCGAAACACUUUCGCAGAUUUGUGGCAUUCGCUCGGAGGGAUUAUAAUUACUGAUUUGGGAGCCAAACGUUUUCUGUUUCGGUUCUACAACAAAGUGGAUUUGGAUAGGGUUUUGAAUGGUGCCCCAUGGACUUUUAAUCGACACUUGCUGGUAUGGGGUCUGAUAAAAAAUGAUGAGGACCCGCUGCUGAUUCCUUUGCUAUACUCGGAUUUCUGGGUUCAGGUACAUAACUUGCCGGUCGGGUUAAUGUCUGCGGCAGUGGCCAAAUCAAUAGGGAAUUUCAUUGGUACUUUCAUUGAAUAUGACAUUAAGACUGUUCAUUUUGAUCCCAAUCAAUUUAUGAGACUGCAGGUUAAGUUGGAUAUUCGUACCUUUACGUAGAGGAAAGAAGUUGAUUGAUUCUAAUGGUAAUGUUCAUUAUGUCCAAUUCCAGAAUGAAAAACUUCUUGUGUUUUGCUAUACUUGCGGUCGCUUGGGACACACCGAUUCGUUCUGUAAAUUACAAUUGCACAAGUCUAAAAAAGAACUCAAGCCAGCUUGGGAUGAUCGAAUAAGGGUGCCGAUUCGCCGGAAAAUUCAGCAAACAACCAUGGCUGCAUGAUGAUAGAAAGUUUGAUGAUACUCCAAUCCAGGCAGAUAUUUCGGGAUGUGUGGGCGGGAAAUAUGGAGUUUUGAAAUCCCAACAAUUUUGAGCUUCCUUUUAUGGCACGAUAGUUAAUUUUAAUGUUAGUACUAAUCCCAUAGGCUUUAUGGAGACUGAUACAAAUUCUUUGAAUGGGUCCAAUACUGAUGGGCUUGACGAGGAUGUGGUCUUAGAAGAUGUGGGUGAAAUGAAGAAGAGGCCCCGAUGAUCCUUUUUGGUGAGGGUAUUAAAGUGGCUAGUGAUCCUUGAGGAGGAUCCUUUUUGCUGUAGAAUCAACGUGGUAGCUCUACUGUGGAUAUUGCCGUGAAGUACCUAUCGAAUUGGAGAGAAGUGUGUCUGCCACAUGAAGCUGCUGUGACGUCCAUUUCAGUGCUUCAUUGACAUGCACAUAAAGCACCAUCCAUUCACGCUCACAAUUUUGUUUGGAUUUGCUUCAUUGAUGGAUCAGUGUUCACAACCAUGGAUUUCAUUGGCUAUGCUUAUGUUAUUGAGGACAGUGAGGGACGGUUUCAACGUGCAGUGUCAGGGUUUCAGGAAGGCAAUGGCUCGGCGGUGGUGAUGGAGGCUAUAGCUCUUCGUUCCUGCCUUUCAUAUGCUCGUGAUUUUCUAUCUUUAAAUGGGUGUAUUUUUUCAAAUUGCCAAAAUCUUAUGAAUGCUCUCAAAUCCCAUUGUUUUAGAUAAUUUUGAAUUUGGUUUGAUUGUUCUUGAUUGUAAGCGAAUUUUAGAGUCUAGACAUGAUAUUACUGUCAGGUGGAUUCAGAGACAAGCUAAUAUGGAUGCUCACACUCUUGCUAGAGCAUCUAUACAUCAUGCUCGUUUCCAAAUUUGGGAUGAUGUUCGUCUUGUUAGUUAGAUUUUUUCCAUUGAGAUAAUGCAAUAUUAUUUCAUUUAAAACAAAUUUAAAACAAUAUAUAAAUUUUAUCAAACAAAUUUAAAUUAAUAACUCUAAAAAAUUUUAAUUUUUAGAUAUUAAAUGGUGUUAUUAGAUGUAAACUAAAUUUAUAUUGUUAUUUCAAUUUAAAUGUCUAAACAAAAUUCUCAAAUUCUUUUUUUGUUAAUAUUUUUUUGGAGAAAUAUAAUUCAUUAAUAAUAAAAGUAUUACAAAUACUCAAUUAGAUCAAAUAUAAAACUUAUUAUCAUAAUUAAUAAAAAGUUCGAUGAUCCUUCAACAAUAAAAGAAUUAUCUAUAUUUUUUUGAAUAGUAAAACUAAAAUUAAAAGAAACAGUUGGAGUUUUCCGCUUGAAAAAAACUUUGAUCGAUAUAAAUCUUCAUAGUAACAACUGAUCCUUUAAUUGAUUUGGACGAUAAAAUAACUUUUUCGAACUUUAUAUGCUUGGAUUGCUUUUUCAAAAAUUUGUUGCAUAUAACAUAUGCGGAUGAGUUUAAACCACUAUGGGUUAAUAGCAUGAAUGAAGGAACAGACUGUACUAUCAGGUUCCAUUGGUUGAAGAUACACAUCAGUAAAACAAGAUCGAAAUUCUCCAAUCAAAUAAAAUCAAAUGUCAUACCUUUUAAUAAUAAAUCUUCACAAGGAACUAAACCCUCUCAAAAGAAUGGGCAAAAAAACUCCAAAUAUGGAGACAAAACAAAUCAAUAACAAAAACAACAAUAACAAAAAUAUAUCUAUUAGAAGAAAAUGGAUUUGAGUUUAUUAAAAACAAAUAAAAGAUUAGGAGCCAGAAGAAAAAAAAAAAAAGUAUGGGGCUACUACUGAUUAACAAUGGCAACCUCAAACAAAAACUAUGAUUAAAUAAAUCAGAGAGAAAAGAGGAGGAGAGAAACCCUAAAACUAUCGAUUUUUUUUUUGUUAAUAUUUAAAAUGACGGUUUUUUUUUUUUUUUUUUUUUUUUUUGCGAAUGUUAAACAAAUCCCUAAAUAGUAUAGGUAAUAAAAUAAAAAAAAAUAUGUAUCACUUUAAUAAUAAUUUCAUGUUAAAAAAUGUUGGAAAAAUAGAGCUCUUGAAUAGGAAAAUCCGGUAUCGAAUUUUUGCUCUGCUAGGGUUUAUCACUUUAACAUUUAAAAAAAAAAAAAAACUAUUUUCAAGACAGUUCAUUUUCUAUUAUUUCUUUUUAAUAUUGAAUAUUAAUUAAAUAACUUACUUUUAAAAAUAUUUUUCCUUGACUUUUUUAAACACUUUAAAUAUAGAAAAAAUUCAAAAAUAUUUUUUAAAUAAAUUAUUUUCAAGAAAAAAUCUUGGAUAAUGGAAAUUUGGAAAAUUAGAUAAAUAAUAAUAAAACCUUAUGCACAGCAAACAUUUGUUAUAUGGUGUCCCAAGAAUAGUAAAACUUGUGGCUGAAUUUUGUAUUUCUUUUUUAGAUCACUCUCUAUCACGCUCUUAACAAUUCCCAUUUGCUGAAGUGGUCCCCAUAAAAGUAUUCUUGAUUGAGAUUUGAAUACGAAUUUCAAUUAAGUAAGCUUCAAGUUACAAACAUCAUCUUCACAAAAUUUCCUUCAUUGGUGAAGCAUUUAUCAUUUGGUAAGUUUUCUCAGAUUUAACACUAUGUUUGGAAUUGGGAGAUUUUAUGAUAGGAAGAAAAUUUUGAAUGGAAAAUAAGAAAAGAAAGCUAUUUUCCUCCUGCUUAAAUGUAAAUAAAAUUUGAAAGGAAAGAAAAUAUUACCAAAAUCCUUUCUGUCCCAUAUUUUAUUAAUCUCUCCAAAUUGGCGAGAAAAUAGGAGAUAAAUGUAUAAAAGGAUAGAAGUGUAAAUUUACAACAAUACAAUUUUCUUUCCUCCAUAUUUUAGACUUUUCUAAAUAAUAUAUAUAUAUAUAUAUUUUUUAUUUUUUUUUUUCCUUUCAAUCUAAACAUAAAAUGGAAAAUAAAGAAAAAAAGAGCUCUUGUUUUACUCGGCACAUGUACAAAAUAUAAGACAUCAAUGUGUUGAACAUGCAAAUCCCAUGCAUGUAUCUGCCAUGCAGGGAUUCAUAAUUAGCUCAACUGAAAAAUUGUUAAGAUCUUUCUUCAUUGUCUUUUUGUCAUAUAAAAAAACACGAGAAAAAUAAAAUAAAACAAGAAAAGGAAGCGCAUGCACAUGCCUGUAAAUGUAUAAUAUACAUCCAUCCAAAUGGGCAAAGAUUAGAUGCCUUCUCACCAUUUUUCCGCGCAUCCAAAACCGUAAGGGGCCACUCACACUUGAUGUGCAGGAUACUUAAAUCAGUUACGCAGCCAGAAAAUUAAAAUUAGAGAUAAAAAAAUUUUCAAGAGUUAACAAGAGUGAGAUUAAAAAUUUUAUUAUUUUAAAAGGAAAAAUAAAAAAUUUUAUUAUUUUUUAUUAUUAGACUAAUUUUAAAAGGUAAAAUAAUAUAUUUUCAUAUAUUAUUAGACUAAUUUUAUUUUAAAAUUUAAUAUUAUUUCUUCUAAGUAUUUUUUUAUGAAUAGAAAUUUUAAUAGAGAAUUAGAGAUCAUCCACUGGAUUUAAAAGUUAAAAUAUAUUUAUAAAUUAUUUCAUCUAUUACACUUAAAUUAUCAACUUGUAGCUUCUUCAUACAAAAUAAGGAGAUAAUUAAUUUAUCUUAAAUCUAUAAAAUUUUCAUUUGAAAUUAUUUUAAUAUUUAUUUUAUAAAAUAUUAUUAAGAGCGAAUGAAUAGUGAGAUCCAAUAAAGAAGAGUAAAAAAUUAAAAAUGUAAUAUACUCUUUUCUAAAUUAUAUAAAAAAAUGACACUUAAAAUAGAACAAAAAAAAAUCUUAAAAGUUAAACAGAAUAUCGGAAGUAUAAAUAAUAGAUUUUAUUUUUUAUUUUUUAAAAAUCGAAUUAAUCAGAGCAAUACUAACAAAAUAAUAUUGUAAAGUUACUUAGGACAUCCCUUCCUCUUAUCUCUCCGUGUGGUCGCUUUCAUUGGCUUCAUAAUCAUACACAUAUUCAUGGCCCACUUACGAAGCCAUCUCACAACCACAAAAUAUAAUUUUCAAAAGAAAAAUGACCGUUCGGACAGCUUGUUAAGUUUUUCCACACUUCUUCCUCACUUUCCCACUCUCUAUAACGGCUACAAUAGAAGGCUCUGGAACAAUCUACCUGUUUUAAGACGGCGGGACACGUGUAACCAAUCACAUGGGCUGCUUUUGCUCGAAAAUGGAGAAGAAUAAGCUGUAGUGUUACUCUUAGAUGUGAAUUAUUUGCUUCAAAUGAUGCUUUAGUUGUUUCUAGUGAAAAUAGAGCAAUAGUAAUUUUUUUUUUUUACCAUUUAAUAUGAUGUACAAUGAAUUUUUUACACUAUGUACUAUUAUGCAGCAGUUACAACAUUUUAAAGUCCAUCAAAUAGUAUAAUCCAUUAGAAAAUCCAAUAAAUUUCUCAUUGCUCUUUUGAAUAAUAUUUACUAUAUUUGUGCAUAUUAAUUAUUAAAAAAAAUUUAUUUACACCCGGUGUUUGGAUCUAUUUAUACAUCAAAUCAAUCACAAAUAAUAUUUUGAUUUAAUCAAAUGUAUUUCUAAUCAUAUAUUAAAAAAAGAUAAAAUAAUAAUUUUUUUGAUUGGUUUACUGAAUGAGACUACCCAUAUACUAAGUGUUGAUAAAAAUUUCCUUAAUUAUUAUAGAAAAGUUAGAAAUAAUUCAAUCGCUUUUCCUUAACUUACUUUUUUGCACUUAAUGUAAUAAAAAAAACUUCAAAACUUUAAUAAUGUAAAAUGAUUCUUACUAAAUUGUAUAGUUAAGUCUAAUAGGAUUGUUGAGACUUUGGUUCUUAAUUUAUGAAAUUUCAAUUUUUAUCCUAAAAAAAAAAAAACAAAGUAACAGGAAAGCUCAUAUAAAUGAACAUGCAAGAGAAAAAAAAAUCAUUUUUUAACUAAAGUAAAUUAUUGCAUACUUCCCUCCUAGAUUACUCUGAAAAAUAAAAAAUAAAAUACACAAAAUUAAAAAUAUACGAGCUUUGUUAACAGAUACAUAUUACGUACAUUUACGAUUACAUUCUUAGCAUAAUAUCAAAAUUUUCAAAAACAUUACAGUUCUUUUAUUCUAUUUACAUUGUAAGUAUCUCUCUACACAGAUUAUGCCAAAAAUACUUUUUGAAUAUCAGUUAAUCAGAUUUAAAAUAGAAUCAGGUGCAGGUGAUAUUACUUAAAAAAAUAAUAUUUCACUGUGCCACGGCAUAUAAGAUAAAAGUGUAAUCGGCAUAUAAGAAGGCACAAAAUCAAGAGAGUUGACAUGAAUGGACUGCUGUUGGGAGUGUGAGUUGGACGGAUUUGAAAUAAAGAUAAGAGGAAAGGCAUAGGUGGGACCUGUUUACUGUGCCACAGCAUGAACCGUGAUGUUUUUUGCCAGCUGGUGGACACGUGAUUCUUGAUUAGUUCAAUUACUGCAUUUGAUCAAACAUGGCCCCACUCUUUGAAUAUUUAAUUUAAGAAAAAAACCCAACCAGAACACCUCAUAUUUCCUGACUGAAAUGCUUGCUUGCUGCGGGCUACUACAAUAUAUAAGAUAUAUCUAUACUGAAACCCUUUAUCUUUAAUUGGCAUUAUUAAAAGAUUUUGUAACCUUACACCGUGGAAAUACUGGAAAUGACAAUUUUAACUCAUUUAAAUGUAAAAGUUAAUUAACAAAUUUAUUUUGGAUAAUUUAUACAAAAUAUGAAUAAAUAUUGUAUUUCUAAAAUAUAAGUCGUUUAAAGUAUUGCAUGCGAUUAAUGAAUCAAUUAAUUUCGCUAAAAAUUAUAUCACUCCGUCUCAAAAUUUAAGUUGUCUAAGGUGAUAAUUUUAUCACAAAAUAUAAGUCAUUUUGAAUAUUUUAAGAAAUUACAAAUGAUUUUUUUUCUUUCAACUGUAUCCUUAUUUAUAUUAGAUAUAAUACAACGAUGUGAGAUAAAAGUAACAAUGAGAGAUAAAUGAUAAUUUGUUCAAAUUACUCUUGAUUUUGUUAGAAAUUUAGAAAAAUUAAUUGCAUUUUUAAUUCUCGUAUAAAAAUCUUAAACGACUUAUAUUUUGGACAAAUAGAGUAAUAAACUCAACAAUAAUUUGAUUUAUGAGAAUUAAUUUAAACGAUCAAAUUAUCCUUAAUCUCAAAAUCAAGUUAUUGUAUUAUGAAUAAAGUUAAAAUUGGAAAAAAGAUUAUUUGUUAAAUAUGUUUUGAAAUCAAAUAGUUUUAUGAGUUAAAAAGAUUAGAAAUAAUCAUUUUUUAAAUUCAUUUGGUGUUAAAUUGGGAUGAUAAAUUAUCAAAAAAAAAAAAAAAAUAUAUAUAUAUAUAUAUAUUUGACAAACAGAUUGAAAGCUAGUUCUUUUGAAAGUUUACUGAGAACACAAAUUACAAGCUCAUAGUAGUUAGUAGCUUGAUUAAGGAAACCCAUGAAGGACAAAAUGACAGUGGCAAAUGCCUUUGAGACCAAAAGGCUUCAGCUUCAAUUUUUUAUAACGUAACAUUUAAUAUCUUUCUCUUUAUGAUUUUUAAAUUAUUGUAAUUGCUAUCAACAGUAUAAAGUAUAGAAAAUUCAUUAUAUAUAAUAUUGAAUAAAAAAAAAAAAAGGGUGAGAAAUGUCAUUAUUUAUAGAAUUAAUUCACACAAACAUAAAUGCGAAGCUUCAUUCUACCUUUUAGGUGCUACCAUUCACUGAAGGGGAACGCACGCAUCAUUGAAGCUCAACGCCUGUCUUUUGCACUUUUCAAACUGAAUCAUUUCAUUCGUGAAAUAAAUUGAUGGAUAAAGGGCAAUUGCCAAACAAUAUUAACGGCAAAAACAAACGAGUCUUUUUUUUUUUUCUUUUUCUUUUCUUUUCAUUAGAAUAUUUAAAGUAUUGGUUAGAGGUAUAAUUAUAAAAUAUAAUUGAUCUCAUAAUUAAUCUUUUCCUUUUCUUAAUAAUAAUCAUUAUAGUCUUGCUUUUGGUGUUAUAGUUGUUUUUUUUUUUUAAUAAUAAAAAAAUAAUGUAUUAUGUCAAUCGAAUGUGAUCUGAUUGGUAUUUCCAUUCACCUUGAGAAGUUUCAAAUUUUAGAUAGUUAACUAUCAGAGUUAUCGUCAAUUUUGCUUAUAAAACAACAAGAGAGCUACCUAUAUUAUGCAGCCCACAAAAAUUCUUUAUAAUAAAUUAAAAAAAUAUUAUUUUAUUAAAAUUGAUAUAUUAUAUUUGUUAUUUAAUAGUUUGAACUAGAAAAAUAAGCUACUAAAAUUCACACAGAUUUUCUUAAAUAUAAAUUUUUACUAUGAAAAAUAGAAAUCAAAGUCAGAAAACAGAAAUGAUACAAAAUAGACACGUAAUCAUAUUUGAUGAGCAUUUCUCAUAAUACACGUUAGCUUGUUUAGCUUGUUUCGUGUAAAUUGAUGAUCCCAUUCUGUUUCGACAUAAAUGGUAUCAUUGGUUAUUAUAAACAAUUUCAAAAAUUUUUGAGCUACCACCAUAAAUACAACUUGUAUGAUUUCAAUUUUCAAAUUUAAAAGUUAUCUAAUAUCUACUUUAUCAAUGGACCUACACCUUUCCAAAUUUCUUGUUAAUCUUAUGCAUUAGAAAAUUUAGCCAAAUAAAAUUGAUAUUAUAUAUCAAUUUUAUUUAUUUUUCAAUUUAAAAUCACAAGUUUAAUUAUCGGAAAAUGCAUAUACUAUGAAGAAAAAAUUUUUAUAAUCAACUAUCCAAAAGAGAUUAGUUUACACCAAUAUAGUAGAAGAAAAAUAGUGGAAGAACACGUGACGAUUCUAAUAUGAUAUACAUAAACUAAAAAUAUUUUAAAGGAGUCUUCACUUAUAAUUUUGUUUUCAAAAUUUAAUACUUGUAAUUUGUUUUAACCAACUAUUUACUAUUUUUAAUUGAUUUUGUAAACUCAAAACUCCAUUUAUUUUUCAAAAAAUAAUUUAUUUUUAAAAAAUAUUUUUAAAAGCAAAACAUACUUGAAAAUUUGAAAUAACACAUUUUCUAUUGUUUGGUUACAAUAUUGAAAAAUUGUUAAAAAAUAUUAAAGCUUUUAUAAGAUCGAAAAAAUUUAUAAUUAUAAAAAGUUUCACAUUUUAAAAUUUUAUUAUUUAAUACAACAUAAAUAUUUAUUACGUGCUUGAUUGUAAUUUGUAUCUAAGACUUAAUCAUAUUUUAUGGACCAAAGAUAUAUUUUGUAUAGAAUCCAGAUAGAAAUAAGAGAUUAUAUUCCUAAAUCCUUCGCUAACUCUCAAUGAACUAGCAAUCACUCCAAAAUACUUAUUGAAUUGGUAUUUCAAAUAUUUAUCUAAUAAAGAUUCCACCUACAACUCUAAUGAAAAUUCUUUACCUCUGUAUAAAAGAGGGAUCAAACUCCCUACUCACACUAUUUAGGCAAUGUAAUACCAAUAUAUUUCAUUCAAUUAUAAGUAUUUAUUAUUUAUUUACUGACUUAAACAUAAAAGUGAUUGCAGGCCUAGAUGAGACCUUUAUUAUUCGUUUAUGUCUUGCAGAUUUCUACGGACCUCUCUUUAUUUUUCCUUGUUCAUUUAUGUCUUACAGAUUUUUACAUAGGCGCUAUGGAUAGAUUUUUCUAAGUCUAUCAUUAUUAAAUAUGAGAAACAAUAUUAUAAAAAAAGAUAAAUUACGAUAUCUAUCGAUGACCGUGGUCGUGAAAAUAAUGAUUAAUUAAUAAUAAAUAUGUAUUUAUAAGUUUAUAAUAAAUUUAUCAGUAUCUGAAAAAUAUUUUUCUCUUUUAGAAAAAGAAAGUUAUAAAAAUGAUUUAGUUCUCUCUUUCUUAAGGAAAAUAUCAUCUGUUGCUAAUUUUCUUGAACACUUCAAACAUUAAAAAAAAAUCUAAAAAAUAUUAUUCAGACAAGUUAUUUCUCGAAAUUAAUGGAAUCUCAAUAUUAAUUUAUUAUUAUUUUUUCCAUUGAGAAAAAAAUAUAUUAGAUUUAUUCCACUAUUGAGAAUAAAGGAAAUCAUUUAAAAUAAGAAAGCUCAAAAAGUUAUAGCCGUAAUACUAAUAGCAUUAUUUCAAAUUUGUUUGACAUGAUGUAAUCAACCGAAAUGAUAAUUACAUUAUAUGAGUAAUUACAUUAUUUGAUUAGACUUUUUUUAAUAGCGUAGUAUAAUUGAGACUACGUGUAUAAUCUUCAUCACUUAAAUUGAUGUAAUACUCAUUACAUGAAAAAACACACAUAUUGUCUAUUACAUCAAGUAAAUGGAAUACCGAUUAUAUUAAGUCAUCCCAAUCAAAACUCUACCAUUCUAGAUUAUUUAGGCUGUGUUGGGUAAUAAAGUUUUGAGUGGCUUUUAAAGUUUUGACUGGUCAAAACGUUACUUAAAAAGUUGUUUGGUAACAUAGCGUUUGGACUAGCUUUUAGAGAUUAGAAUAACGUUUUGUGAAAAGUUAACUCACGUAACGUUUAGCUUUUAGCGUUUCAUGAAAAACUACUCAAACAGCUAACAACUAAACACUAUUAAAAUAGCAAAUAGCUACCAAAAUAGCUAAUUUUGCCGAACAUAUCCUUAAUACUACCACUUCACCACCACAACCACUAUCACCGCUUCACCACCACAGCACCACCUUAACACCCACCACAACCACUGCCACAAUUACUACUCCACCACCACCACCACCACUACUGUUCCAUCACUACUUCAACCACCAUUACCGCUCUGCAACGACAACCAUCACCAUUGUUCUACCAUCACCACUACUACCACCAUCACUGCUCCAUCACUAUCACCUCAACUACCACCACCGCUGCUGCUGCCUCAACUCCUACCAUCAUCGCUCCACCACCACUAUCACCACCAUCGCUUUACCACCACCACCAUGUGGUGGUGAUAUGAUUAGUGGUGAUGGUGUGCUAAUUAUAUUACAUAUUUACAAAAAAAAAAAAAAAGAACGAUGAUUAUAUUCCUAAAUUUUCUUGAUAAUAUUAUCAAACAUAGUAAUGAAAUCUUAAUUAAAUUACGUUUUUCAUCACAUUACUUCUUUAAUUACAUUAUAUUGCCUUACAUCAAACCAGACAUAGCGUUAGCAUGUAUAUCCUCAUACACAUCAAAACUUGACUCUAAUAUCUAUGAGAAAAAUGCACAGUUAAGCCCUUAAAUUUAAUCAGUUUUUCCAUUAAACUUUUAUUUAUGAAUAUUAAGUUUUUAAACUUUUAUUUUUUUUAAAAAAAUUAAACUCUAUUUAACCGAGAUUUAAACUUUUAUUUUUUUAAAUUAAACUCUUAUUUAAUUAUGAGUUAAACAAUUAUAAUCCCAUAUGUUAUACGCGGUUGAUGGGAAAACUUAAUCGAAUUGUUAAAUCUCUUAAACUUUUAUUUUUUGAAAAUUAAGUUUUUAAAUUUGUACUUUUGUUAAAGUGAGUAUUUAAAUUAUUUCCAUUAUCAGUGAUUUGAAUUUAUUAUUUACUCACUAUCGAUUUAGAACUUAAUUUUAACUUAAAUAAAAAUUGAAGGAUUCAAUAUUGAUAAAUGAAAUUGCAGGAGCUUAGUAGACAAAACUUGAAAAAUAAGAGGCUUAAGUACAUCUUUUACCAAAUAUAAUCAAGAGUUAAUUUACACUCACACAUAGGUGAGGAUAGGAUUAGGAUAGAAGUGUGGUAAGUGCCCGCGAACUUUGAGUUAUCCAUAUCUAUAUCUGUUUAGAGCUUUAAAAUCAAUUGUAUCUAUGUUAAAUCCGUUUAAAUACCUAUAUCAAAAUCUGUUUAAAAUUUUACUGUCCGAUCCAUUCAAAAUCUAUUUUAAAUACUUGUAUUUGAUGUUCAUAAAAUUUAAACCAUUUAAACACGAACUUAUUUAAAAAAGUAUCUUCCAUUGAUAAUGGAUAAAGUAUCAAGGAUACUCACAGUAAAACUCAUUUAAUAUAAUGGAUAACAAGUAACGAAUAUUCAAACUCAUUUAGUAAAACUCCUGAAUUCAAACGACAGGAUUUGCAAGUGAAGAGAGAUGGAACCUAAAACGGUUGGCUAUGUACUCAAUGUAGAUUCACUAACAAAGUACAACAAAUGCAAAUACCAAGUAAAAAGGAACAAAUGGUUAAGAAUUCAGACAAAGUCCUAACUUCAAAGUUCAAAGUUCAAACCAUAAAAUCAUUUCAGUAAGGAGAAAUCAAACUAAAACUUUUGAAUGUUAAAAUUUCAACUUUAACCACAGAACCAAAACCCUGUUAGCUAUGUACUAACACAAAGUGCAAGAAACACCGAGUACGAACUCAAGCACAGUAAGAUUGAGCUGGAUUGCCCAUAACCCAAAAACACUAGAAUGUGUCUGGUGUGGAGGGGUCCAGAAGCCAACUUAAAUAGAAGCAGAGGGACAACACUGGAAAUUAUGAUUUAAAAAAAAAAAAAAAAAAAAAACUAAAAAGCAAAGAGAGAAACAGACAAGAAAUAACCGUUGUAGGGGUGGCUUUUUGGGUUGGAUGCCAGGCUGACGCUUGAGCCCCCCUCAGAUGAUUCAGCUCACAUGGUCUAUCUGUACACUCUGGGUCCCACCCUCCACUUUCUCUCUCUACUACCCUCUUUGGAUUAGUUGUCAAAUGAUCCUUUUAUGUUAUCAUAUUACACACUUUCAUCCUAUCUAUUUCAAAGUUACUAACUUUAGUUAAUGAGAUUUAAUCUGCCAAAUGCAUAAAUUAAUAUCUAAAUUUUAUAAGAAGAGUCUAGUAGCACCUUUAAACGUUGAAAACUUCUUUUCGUAAAAUUAUAGCUAGUAAAUGCCUUAAUUUAAAAAACCGUAUUUAUUAAAUACUUAAACGUAUAUAAUUAUGUUUAUUAAAUAUUUAUCGGAUGAUUUAAAAUAUAAAAAUUUUAUUAUUUAAUAAAUUAUAUUAAAAGUUAUAUAAAAUGUUACACUUAUUGAAUAUAUUAUUUAGUAAUUGUUGUAAAAUUAAAAACCCUGUUUUUUUUUUUUUCAAAUUAAGUUGAUACUUAGUCUCAACUGUGCUUUUAUCCAUAAUUUUAAAUAAUUUAUUUGUAGAAACCCUAAAAACCAUAUAUUUUUCGUUGACAUAUCAUAAAAAUUAAAAUUAUUAAUUUCAAACUGUUUAAAUACUGGUAAAAUGUAAAAUAAUGCAAAUGGUGACAGUUUUUGCAACCAACUUUUUUUCUUGGAAAUUCUCUGUAUUACAAUCGUCUUUUAUAAUAUUUUUAUUAAUAUUAUUUUGUUCCAAACAUGCCCUUGUCUUAUCCAAAUAAUGCCCCGUACUCUCCUGCCCUUCUCUCUAUUCUUAUAAGGGCAGUGGCCUGUGGAUCAAAGACCACAGUCCCAAGAGAGAAGAGAAAGACAAAGCAAUUAAGCUCACAAGAGAGAAGCUCUUCUAUUUUCUAGAGUAAGAAAGAAGAAAGAAGACGAUGGCCAAGGAAGUAAGUGAAGAAACGCAAACUACCCAUGCAAAGGAUUAUGUUGAUCCACCACCUGCGCCACUGAUCGACAUGGCUGAAAUCAAGCUCUGGUCUUUCUACAGAGCUUUAAUAGCUGAGUUCAUAGCCACUCUCCUUUUCCUUUACAUAACUGUAGCCACUGUAAUUGGCUACAAGAAACAAACUGAUCCAUGUGGUGGAGUUGGUCUUUUGGGCAUUGCAUGGGCCUUUGGUGGCAUGAUCUUUAUCCUUGUUUACUGCACUGCCGGUAUAUCUGGUAAGUAAAAAAAAAAGGAACUAUUUCUCUAAGUUACUAGUACCCAAAUGGGUAUUUAUUAAGUUUUAGGUUUCUGUGAAGUUUCUUUGUGGAUUUGGUCAUUCAACUUGAAAAAUAACAAAACCCAUUUGUUUUCAAGACCUGUUUAAUAAUGGGUUUUCCUUAUUUUGGUUACAGGUGGUCAUAUUAACCCAGCAGUGACCUUUGGGCUGUUUUUAGCAAGAAAGGUGUCACUAAUUCGAGCCUUGGCUUACAUGGUGGCUCAGUGUUUAGGUGCCAUCUGUGGUGUAGGGUUGGUCAAAGCUUUUAUGAAGAAUCCAUAUAAUCAUCUUGGUGGUGGUGCUAACUCUGUAAAUACCGGCUAUAGCAAAGGAACUGCUUUGGGUGCUGAGAUCAUCGGCACUUUUGUUCUAGUCUACACUGUUUUCUCUGCAACUGACCCCAAGAGAAGUGCACGUGACUCACACGUUCCUGUAUGUUAUCAACCAUAGCCUAGUAUAGCUCUCCUCUUUCAUGUCAAAGAGUUCAAAUCUAAACUUUGUUUUGGUUAUGUUUGGUUGCAGAUUUUGGCUCCACUUCCAAUUGGGUUUGCAGUUUUUAUGGUUCACUUGGCUACCAUACCCAUUACUGGUACUGGUAUUAACCCAGCGAGGAGCUUCGGUGCUGCUGUUAUUUACAACAAUGAUAAAGUCUGGGAUGAUCAUGUAAGCCUCUUGAUAGUCAACCAGAAACUUAUUUUUCUUGAUUUUAUGGUUGUUUUGAAGUUGGUGCUUUUUAACAUAAAACAUCAGAAGUAGGUUAAUUUUCAAGAAUAUGUUUAUCUUCUUGAUAAAAUAAUUUAAUUUCCUUUUUAAUUAUUUUUUGGAUGGGCAGUGGAUUUUCUGGGUUGGACCGUUUGUUGGAGCAAUUGCAGCAGCUGCAUACCAUCAAUACAUACUGAGAGCAGCAGCUAUCAAAGCUUUGGGAUCUUUCCGCAGCAACCCCACCAACUAAAAUGAAAGAAAGAACGAAAGAAAGAAAAACAAGAAAAAAAAAAAAAACCAAAGGCUUUGUGUAGCUAUCUUUAGUCUCUAGUCUUUCUUUUUCUCUAUUUGUUUGUUUGUUGUGUGUAAUGAGAGGAUUAUGAUGAUGACCCUUCUUUCUUCUUUCUUUUUUUACUUCAUUUUUUCUUUUCUUAUUGUUCUUUUGUAUCAUUGUUAAUGAGUAGUGCUGUUCUUUUUUCUUUCUUUUGAUCAUAUUUAAUUGCUUUGUGCAGUGUAGAACGUUCUCUCUCAACACUCUUUUAAUAAUUAGCCACUAAAUAAACUACCAGCUAACUAAAUUUUUAUCCUCUCGACCUUCAUUACAGCGGUGCUAGUGAAUUUGUGAGUAGCGGUUAGGCCAUCUUCGGGAACAGUUUUUUCAUAUGGC